UGCAGUGUUGUUGUCGAUAUAGAAUCGAGAUUUUGGCCAACCACUCGGGCUCCAUUAUCAUCAUCAUCAUGAGAGUAAUAAAGAUCACUAGGCAUGGAUAUUACCUCUAUUCCAUUUAUAAAAGCAUAUGUUUUAUCAGAUUGACUGUGUUCAGGAGAGAAAAUUAUACUCAGGGGUGAUUCUGUUCUAUAUUCAUGCAAUACUCCUUAACCAAAGACUUCACGUCGAGGGCAUCAGCAGUUAGUGAAGUGCUAAAGUUUCUAAGGAGAGUGAAAGCCCCAGCUUCGACAGUGAACAAAUCCUUAAAUUUUUUGAAACGUUGGUAAGAAGCCGGACUGAAGUGAAGACAAAUAAGCUUCUGACCUGGACUAACUUGAAAUGUGUAGGAGAAUUGCUUGCGAGAGACUCGAGCUGUUUUGUAGGGAAUGGAAUCUGUUGAAACCAAAUUAUGGAAGGCAGUUGAGGUGGUGGAUGAGCCCUUUAUCACUAGCGAGGAAGUAGAUUUUGAUUCUGUUAUAUCUCCAGUCCAUUCUUUGUUAUUGAAGGCGGUUGAAAUGCCAAUUGAACCAGAGUUAAUAGCUAUAUCCACUGUGAGGUAAUUAUCUGCGGAAUGAACUGCUAAGGUGCAAAGAAGAGGAUAAAGGAAGAAGAAGACGAGAUUUUCCAUUUGGUGUAAACUGGAGGGAGGGGAUGCUGAUGACAUGUUUGGCAUAGAACUAGAUGGUGUUAGGGAGGAAAAAAUGCUCAGUUUUUUGCAGUGUUCUCUGUUAAAGAGAGGAAACAAGUAGUUUGUUUUAUCAAAGUCAAUUCUCCCUCACAAUUACCUGGUAACUUCAAAGAUGAUUCAGAUAAUAAUGUAGAAGACAGGUCAUGGUUACUGCACAUUUUACGCGAAUAGAUUUUUUAUGCAAAAUUAUGCUUUCAUAUUCCCUCAAUUCACGUCACAAGAAAAAGGGAAAAAGAAACUGAAGAAUGAAAACUUUUCGAAGACCGGCUUUAUCUUGUAAAUGCUAGUAAGGAUAAUGCUCUUGGUACAUUGUGAUAUCCAACAUGGUGUCCAAAAUGGACACCCAGCAUCUCAGCAUUGGCCGAGGUGCUUGCGGGCCCCGACGUGGCAGGCCGAGGUGCCAAGUGUCCAUUUUGGACACCAUGUUGGAUACCACAAAGUACCCCAAGCAUGAUUGAUACUAGUAAUUGCUAGCUGUAUUCUUGAAGCUUUUUACUGUUUCAAGUCAAUAUAAGAUAAAAACAAAAAAUCAAUUCGCUCCACUCCAUCCGUUCUUCUCUAAAAAGUAAGGAUUAUCCUGAGACCUGUUUGAUGAAAAUUAAAUUUCAGAUUUUGUUUCAAGUUAAAGUUAAUAAUUAAUUUCAAUCACAUAUUCCGUGAGAUCUACAACUUUUUAAUCACAUAUUUCAUCAAUUUUAUCAUCUUCUUAAUAAUUGCUACCCUAAUGAAUAUUAAUUUUUAAAUUAUAUAGCCCUAGCUCUUUUAAGAAAAGUGUGGAUUUGAUUCGGCUUUAUUUUAUGCACUUGCUUAUGCUUCUCUAGUAUUCCAAAAUUCCAUAUGUUGAGCAACAAAAAUUACAUUAAGCACCUGUUCUUUGCUGAUUAAUAUUCAUUUCUUCGAAAAUGAAAUUGAUACCAAAGCUCGUCAAAGGCUCAGGUAAUUUUGCCUGACAUGCUCGGCUCAUGUACAAUCACUGAAGUAAUUACAACUACUAUUUAAUCUUGUUGUGAACAUUUGUCUUUGACAAAGUUUGUUACUUGAUGGUUUUACUGCUGCAACAUAUUACAUGCAAAAUUGAUGAAGACUUGGUACAUAUGAAACUAGAUUCAUGUCAAAAUAGUGGUAAACUCAACAUAGAAGAGAUGAAGGUUGAAGUGGCAUGCUUGUACCUGUUUAAAACUCUUCGAAGAGAAGAUAUCCAGAGGUAUGCAGUGAUUCCUAAUUUUGCGCUUGGUUUUUAUUAUUGGUAAUCAUAAUGUAGAAGUUUGGGUUUUGAAUUACAACCAUUUUUUUUGAGUGAAUAAGACGAAACAAUGUUAGGUACAUACAGUCUGGGGCAUUAUAAAUUUUGUAAGGAUAAUUUUCUAGUGUUUGUUUGGUGUGAUUAUCUAAUAACCCUGCAAAAUCAUGUCAUAUGAAUCAGUAAAGAAUUAAGAGGUUAUUCUCCAAAUAAAUUAUGAUCUGGAAAGGUUUUCAUGUAUUCUCAAUAAUUGGUUUCACAGACUUACGCGAGCCAUUGUUUGUUUCGUAUUUCAUAUUUCCGCAAUUUUAUUAUCACGAACCAUUUAUGUGCAAUACGUGAAGGCCCUUAUGUCAAUUUUAUUUGUAAAGUUCCAAUAACAUAUAUCUUGCUCAAGGAAAGAGCUCAGCUUGCAGAUGGAAGUCAUAAUCAUGAAUGUGAUUCCAAUAAUUUUUUGCAAGCAUUGCUAAUGCAGGUAGGUCGAGAAGCCUAGAUGCCAUUGUUUAAUACUCCAUUCAUGGUAGUUUAAUGCUUAUACAAGUGCUUAAAAAUUUCAUACUUUCUCGUCUCUUUAACUUUAACUAUAUCAAGAUUAAAUUGGAUGUCCGAAGUUGAUAUAAUGGGAAGGCGAAGAAGAUACUGUGUAUUGAGAUCUUACCAAUCCUCCUUAUGUCCUUACAUUUUACUGGUAAUUGCAUAUUCAAAUGUAUUUAGGUUCUCAAUUGCUGUGCCAUUCUUUCUAAUAUAUUGUUGAGUGCUGACAAUAGAUAUUUCACAUAAUUACACUCUAUGGCAGAGUAUGCAGAUUAAGCUUCUUCCUUAGGAAAUUGUCGUGGUCUAGCAAAUCUGCAUCACUUUUUUUGGAAAAAGUAGAGGUUAAAUAGCAAAAUAGGGAAAGGAAUGUGAUAUUCAUGUACUGGAAAUCAUGUUCCACAUCAUUUCAUUCAUCAUUUUCGCAAGAGCAAAAACAUGUCAUGGAUGCUAUGUUAUUCUUUAACAGUGCUCUGUUGUCUCCAUACCUAAUGUGGUUUUGAAGUAUGUAAUAGUGGAUGUUAAAACAGUGUUAGUAAAAUUGGUGCCAGUCAUUCUGAUAGGACACCGUCCAACUUAGUGUACCAUAUGAGGGCAGGAAAGGAAAUUGCCAAAGGGGAAAUUCAACAAACACGUGAGGGGCUAACAGAAAUGGUUGAAGGGUUUGUUACAAAACACAUUAUAAAUGCAAGAAACAGGGGAGGAGAGCAUACGGAGAUACAGGGAAGUCUUAGGGUUUGGCCCAAAUUGGAAUAAAAGCGCAGGAUAUUCUACUUACACCAUCCACCUUUCUCCAAUUAACAAAUCAAUUUCUCAAAUCGCCAAUUCUGCUCCACGAGAAAUAAUACCCUAUAGAUCCCCAAUUUCUUAAAAAACGCUAACUGAUGUGCAUCUCCAAUUGAAGUGCAAGCUAGGUCUAUUGUUAGGGGGCGAAGAAAACUGCUGUAUUCGGCAUCAAAGUAAGCACAGGGAGUUACAGGUUUUAGUUAUGAAUAAAGAAAUUGAUGGGUGGGAUAUGGAUGAUAGCGAAGAUCAGUACGGCAGCGUAGGAAGCAAUGACAUGGAAGAAUUGGUGGAACCUUUCCCAAAUACCGCAGCAAGCUUGAUUGCACCGAUGACCAUGAAAGUAGAGGUCAAGUAACGUUUUCAUCAUUUUAGACAGCCACAUUCUGAAUUUUCUGAAUCACUUUGAUCCAGUGUUCUGAGAAUUUCUUCUCAUGGCAGCUGUUGCCUGGCUCGAUGUCGGUCUUCUCAGAAGUACACCAGAAUGAUUUCCUAACCAAGCACCAAAUUUCAAUGGUUUUGAUUAAUUUCCUACAUGUCUUCCACGUAAUAUCACUAUCCUUAUUGUCACUCUCAUCAUCUGAAAUCCCACAUCUUAUUAUGAGCAUGACUAAUCAUCGUAAUAUGAUUGUUCCCUUCAUCAUCUCUUAUUUUGCUUCUUCGAUUUCUUGUGGUAUUAGCAAUCUGAAGGGUGCUAAAGGAUUUUACUAUUAAUUCUAUCCAAUUGAACUAGGAACUGGUACCUAAAUAGUGGAAGGGUUUCUGAAACCUGUCAUUCCAAUUCAACCUAUAAUUAGAAUAUAUCGUGUCACUUUCCAGGGACGUGUUUAGGUGUAUGCUCAGAUCAGAUGUUAGAUUGGUUUAACAUAGUUAUGAACUUGGGUAGGAAUUUCAUUUAAACAAUAUAACUUAGCUUACAUUGAAAUGAUUCAUAACCCUUUAUUACGUGGCUUUGAAAUGUUUCAUGAAAAAGAGGAACAAAUAAUUGUGUUUCCAUAAGAAGCUGAUUUUUAGCUGUUAUUUAAGUAUCAAAGAUGGCUGAUCUGAAAAAGAUAAAAGCCACUGAUGAACAUUGGAUCAGAAAGCCAAAUCUAGGAGUUGCAGAUUUUUGGAAUGAGCGUGCCAAAAACUAAUCUGGGAUUAGCGUUUUCUGGUAACUGUUUUUAAUUGCAAUUAAGUUUUUGUUUUAUGAAAUGUUAGCUAGUUUACAUGUCUCUUCUGUUGACCGCACCAUUUAGUUGAAUUUACUGCUCACUUUCACUGUUUAUCUGUAAGAAGUUUUGGCCAAACAGGCACUCAUCGGUUUCUGUUUUGCAUCUGAAAGAACUGUGCUGGUCUUAUCAAAAAGCUUAACGUGAUGGUUCCAGUGACAGCUAUUUCUCUCAAUAACUAAUUAUUCUAGAGGAUUUUGUUGCAAGUAGUAUUAUUAUUUCCCCUUUAUGUAUUGUACAAUUAGUACUGAAUAUCUUUUAUUCUUCUCAAACUAUAGCCAUAUAUGCAUUGUACAAAAAUUGGAUUUAAAAUUCAUUUUGUCGUAUUAGAACUUGUUGGCAACCGUUGACUAGGCAAAUAUAAUAGGUUAGAGUCUACACCUUUAAAUAGAUAGAUCAUUUUCCUGAUUUUUCUGAAACGUUUACCAAUCACUUUUACCUCUAGUUCCCUAUUGGUCAUGCAUCCUUGGAUAGGCAAAAAUAUUAAUCUAGCCCUAGGUUUAUAUGCAGCCUAUAGUGGAAAUUUUAUUAAUUGCCUUAGUUAUUAAAAAAAAAAAAAAAAAAAAAAAAAAAAAAAAAAAAAAAAAAAAAAAAAGAGGUGAAGAAGCAUGGGCAGUCUCAACAAGACUACAAGGACAUAUAUUGACACUAACACUCAUUGGGCACUCCCUUACAUGCGUUUGAUACUUCUCUAACAAUAUCGACAAUUCUGUGACUAGAAGGUAUGCUUAUGAGAUAUUCCCAUAAUCUCCUAAGAAUUUAUUCUUGACACCUGACCACCUAAUGUUGAAGUUCCAAAUUUAAGAUCCACUAUCUAAAAACAAGUCUUAAAAUGUAUUUGAAUGCUGUACAACAUUGUUCUUGGGUGGUGAAAAUGGUUAGUAUGAAAAUCUAUAGUAUUUUUUUUAUUUUUAUUUUUCCAUUUUCGGGUGGUGAAAAACAAAAUUUUUUCGAAAAGUGUGCCAAAAAAAUUAUAUUCUUGUAAUGUAAAAAAAUACCAAGAAGUGAUUAACUGAAUUUUUUUUUUUAUUAGUGACCGUGGGUAUUCAGGCCAACUUACACGCACCUUAUCUAAUUCCAUGGGGUCCUGAAAUUUAGAACUGGGUACUCACCUAAGUGGUUCUGAGAGGACUCGAACUGGUAAUUAUUGGGGAGUAAACCCAACGCCUGACCAUUGAGCUAUCACUGAGGGUUAGUGAUUAACUGAAUUUGGAUAAAGAACUGAUAGCACAAGUGUUAUAGAGGAAGAGAAGUUAUAGUUACUAUUUAUAUAAGCUAAGAUAUGGACAUGGAAUUUUUAAGACCAAUAGGUAAAAUAUCAGGGAAAAGUUAUUGCAUAUACACUUACAUGUGUGUAUAACGUAUAACGUUUGUGUGUAUCCAUCAAAAUCUCCACACACCUCAUAUCCUAAUUUUUAAUCUGUGGUCAUGUUAUAGCACAUUUGUAUCCCCUCUUGUCUCCAUGCUUCUUUAGAAAGUUAGGAAAACCAAGGUGGCACCCCUUGCUAGCAUGGCUCUUGCAAAAGGAUGUAUUACAGUGAAUCGGUAAUGCACCUUUUAGAACUGAAACAAAUUCAUCAUAACAUACUAAAGACAAAUGCAUGGAAGCAAAUGAUAUAACCAUCUAACUUUGAGAACUCCAGCUAGCACCUGGAUGCUUUGAUUUGCAUACCAUUACAGAAGAAGUGAGCUUCGAACUUUUUCAAUUUUGAAACAAUUUAUCGAUACGGAACAGACAUAGAAGCAAAUAAAAUUACCAAUUACUUUUGCUAAUCUAGUCAAGGCUUGGGAUGUAGUAUACCAUGUUAAUGUAACAAGUGACUGACAUCCUGUUAUGGGUGUAACCUAAAUUAUCAAGUCCCUGUGAGAAAAUGCAAUUCUCAAAGUAAAUUCUACUGUAACUAUGUGUUAGUUUGAAAUUUUUUAAAGCACGUGAUUGAACAAUUUGACAUUUUAUUUAUGCAACCUUUUAAAUUCGAAUAUUUCUCUGGGUUAUCCCCCUCCCCUUGCUCUCCCCCUCCCUGCCAUGCGUGUUCUCACCUACAUUAGUAGUACAUACCAAAAAAUGGAGGGGACAUGUUUCAUUGAGACAACUGUCAAGCUGGCCAUUUUUUAUUGGUGUCUGAUUAUGGUAGGAAGAUAAAUAAUUAAAUGUGCAUCUGAAGAGAGAAAAAAAUACGGUUAGUAAUUAUGGUAUGAAAGGUAAGCAAUCAAGAAUGGAAUAUCUGUUUCUUAUAAUGUAAAGCGAAGAAUGUAUUAUGAUUAAGGUUUAGUGAUUGACUGUCCUAUAUAUAGUAGCUAGUAAGUAGUAAUCACGCUAGAAAAUCAGACCAUUUUCAAAUUUCGGUGUACAAUGCGGAAAAAUCUGAAAGCUAAUAGAUCUCAGAAAACCAACUCACUUUGAUCCUAUCCUUGAUUGAUUUACAACUCUUUUUGAAUCACAUUUGUUAAACGGGAUCAAAAUGUGUGUUUGACUUCUUUAAAUUUGCUGACCACUUCCGUUUCAUUUGUAUCUUGCAGAUGUAGUAUAUUACUUGGUUUCCUUCUAUUUCAUCUCCGUAUAGAUGGAACAAAAAAUGAAUUAAACAAUCUCAUUUGUAUUUUUUUGUAAAAUAAAUUUACUUCAUUACGUUUGACUUUAAUGGGCUUUGGCUUCUCGAGUCACUAGUCAUUUGAAACAGAGCAUUAACAUCUCUAUGUAUUUGGCAUGUAAGGAUUUGGGGAACUGGGAAACACCUACGAAGCUUCCUUGACCUCUCUCUUGAUAAAUAGGCUAUGUGGGCUAUCGAACCGGCCAUGCAAUGGCUUCUGUCUGGGAAGAAACUAAUACAUUAUCUUGGCCGUAGACAUGUAUAUGGCUAAUCUGUUAUCUUGCUAUUAUUUUUUUGUUUUAACAUGAAUUUGGAAGUUAUUUAUCAUUUUCUUUCCAUUGUUAAACAGCUUACUUUUUAUUACCGAUCAUUCUAUUUUUUUGCUGAAAUAUUAAGAGUGAAACAUACAUGGAAUAUCUUAUACUUCUGUAUAUAUUUUAUUUCCACAGGAGAAUCCUGAGAACUGUGUAACAACUUCUGUUAAGUACCAAAUGGCAAUAGUGGUUCACACUAGAGACCCACCUUUUAAUAAAUCGAGUAGUUUUCACAGAGUUCUCAUUUCCCAAUUCUUGGCCAGUCGUGUCAAUUUAUGUGAUUUCAUGGAAAAUGACACAGGCAAACUUAUCCGGUUAUCCCCAACAUUUAUACAAUGUAAAUACAUUGCUAUUAACAAUACUAGCCUGGUGGGAAAAUGGGUCUAUAUUAAAUUUUAUUAACUCAUGUAGCCAACCUCUAAUUUAUUGGGAAUAAGCAGCAGUAUGUUGGAUCCAGAUUCCACAGUAUAGCCUAAAUUUUGUUGUUGCUAGAGUACAUAGUAUAAUGUUUGAUCAUUUGACUAUCUUAACCCCAUGAUACAUCACUUUCUUCCAGGUACUUCGAUUUUCUUUGGCGGACUCCUAUUCUACACAGUGUUGUAUGGGUAUCUCAGAUGAGCUUUCUAACUGAGCAGCUUUAUUGCUCUUUUAAUCACAGCUAAAUACUCAAAAAAGUUGGAUUCACUGUUGUGUUACCUCAAAGCACUGUGGCGCCUAUUAGGGGCUUAGUUUCAAUACGCUUCAACUCCUGAAGCACUUAAGAUCCUGUUCCCAAGGAAAGGAGGAUUCCGAGGCUGAUAUACUGAUGUGGGCUGACAAAAAAACGUAGCAUUUAUACAGAAUAUCUCAAAUGGAAAAUUUUAAGGACAAGAACCUUUCAAGUGCAUUAGUCUUUCUUGGGCUCCUCAGUGCAGUUGAGCCAUGGGUUGUUAUUUGGAAUCUCGUUACCAAGGGUAAAAGUGAUGAGGAGAAGAAGUUGAAUUCUGCUUAUAUAAUCAGUGUUGCCAGGAAGAUUGGCUGCUCCAUUUUCUUGCGGCCUGAAGAUAUCAUGGAGGGAACCCUAAAGAUGAUCCUUACUCUUAUGAGAAGUAUAAUGUAUUGGAGCCUUCAGCAACCUAUGGACGAGCAAUUGUCCCCAUUGCCUGUUGUUUCUAGUCAUGAGGCAUCACUCGAACCUUCAUGUUUUCUCUUUUGGGGUGGAAAUUGUGGGCUAUACUGCAGCCUGCAAUUGCCAAUUAACCUAGACAUCCACCUUGAAGACAAGGUGGAUUGCCGAGGGGUUCAAGUAAUGAUAGGACACCGUCCAACUUAGUGUACCAUAUGCAGGAAAAGGCUGAGGAGGGCAUGAAAGGAAAUUGCCAAAGGGGAAAUUCAACAAACAAAUGAGGGGCUAACAGAAAUGGUUGAAGGGUUUGUUACAGAACACAUUAUAAAUGUAGGAACCAGGGGAGAAGAGAGCAUGCGGAGAUACAGAAAAAGAUAUUAGCCUCUCGAAUGCCAAAUGACCUAAUUUCUAUUUUCUGUUGCUGAGUAUAAUUCUAUAAGUUUACAUACUGUUAUUUUACUACAACUUAAUUGUAUUUCUAGUACUCAAACUCUUCGUUCCAGUCAGCUUGCUUUCACAUAUGUUGUUCUUGUGCUCAUUUGAAUCUGCCUUUGAUACAGGGUCCUACCACAUUUAGCAUAUGAAGUACGGUGGAAGAAUCUUUAAAUCUUUGGAAACACUCAACCCUUCAGAGAAUCAUCAUUCUGGAAAAGGCUGGAUUGACGUUUCUAUUGGUGGUAUGUUUUCACAAGUAAAAAAAGCCUUCUACAGUAACUAUGUUAAUCCUUUUGAAUACGUCUGUUCUUGAAUGCUUCACCUUCUUGCUAGUUUGAGAUUUUUACCCUGGAAGUAUUAAACUUUGCUGUCUCGAUCUGGCUAUAAUAAUAGCAUUCAUGGUUUCUAUGGGGAUUGGAGAAUAAUACUUUUCUGUCAUUCAUUAAACGAGGAUUAUGAGAAUCAGCCAACUAUACAGGGAAUCUGAAAAUAGGAAACUCUAGGAGAAAAAUGGAAAUAAUCUAAUCACGUCCCAUAAAUUACAUGUCGAUAAUUAGUCAACUCAUAAUCUCCUAGAAUAGGAAAUCAAUACAUAAAGACACUUCCCCUCAAUCUAGUUCAAAGAUAUUUGUACACCCCACCUUGCAUAGAAUACUCCAAAAAAGCAGCUCCAUUAACACCCUGAAUAUAUCUGCAAGUUGUCCUUUGGAAGGUACAAAUGUCGUGCAAAUCUCGUCGGUGUCAAUCUUUCCCUUGAUGAAGUGUAUCUAGCUCCUCAAGUUUGGUAUAAUCAUGAUGUAACGAAUUAUGAGCUCUACUGAUGGCUGCCUUGUUAUCGUAAUACAAUCUUAAAGGCGGCCUCAAGUACAAUCUUCAACCAUAGAGUUCAUGUAUGCCAUGAGCUAAAGCCCUGGACUCGGUUUUUGGAUUUGAUCUAGCCACUAUGUGUUAUUUUUUAUUCCUUGUCAAUAGAUUAACUUCAACAAAAGUGCAAGAUCCAGCUGUAGAUCGUCCAUCUAUUACUGAACUUUCUCAAUCUGCAUCUUGUCCAUUCUUUGAAAAUAUUAAAACAUAACCAGGUGUGGAUUUUAAAUAUCUCAAUAUUCUUAGUACAGCCUCUAAGUGACACUCUUGUUGCGAGUGGAUUAACUGGCUAACUAAACUAAUCGUUUAAGCUAUAUCCUGUCGUGUAAGAGAUAAGUAAAUCAAUUUUCCCACAAAUCUUUGAUAUCUUCCUUUAUCAACAAAGUCUCAUGUUACUUCUCCAAGUUUAUGGUUGUGGUCUAUGGGAGUGUCAACCGAUUUACAUCCCAGCAUCUCGAUUCCAUUUAACAAAUCUAUGACAAAUUUCCUUUGAGAAAUAAAAAUACCCUUUGCUGAUCUUGCAACUUCAAUUCCAAGAUUAUACCUUUUUGCCCUAGGUCUUUGAUUUCGAGCUCUGUAGCCAACAUACCUCUCUAUAUCACCACUUUUUAAGCGUCAUCAUUAAUGAGUAUUAUGUCAUCCACAUAGACUUUUAAAUAUUGUGAGUUUGUUUUGAGAUGUACGCUUGAUAAAGAGGCAAGGAUUGAGGCGUACGCCUCACAAAAAUCCAAAAAAAUAGUAUUUUUUUUUAAAUAAUACAAAAAUAAGAAGAAUUUGAGAAAGAGGAGACGAAAUGCAGAAAAAGUAAUAAUCUUCUGGAGUUUGAGAACUAUUGGUUACCUCCUUACAAUCUAGUGAGAGACUUCUCAGGUGAGUGAUAAGGCAUGGAGUACGAUAGGUGUUUUUAUUGUUAAGUUAGAAAUACGAUGAGUUGUGUUUUUUUUUUUUUUUUUUUAAUAAUCUGAGAACUAGAUGGGCCCAAAUAAAAUGUUUCUUUCAUUGAAAGUCACAUUUAGACUUGGAAAAACUAAAAAUAAAAUAAAAUAAACAAAAAUAGGUCAAAUGUCAAAGUAAACCUGGGGCGCAUGCCUCACUCUUCUUGAGGCACGUACCUUAGAGUGUCUGCAGUGAAAAAUGGAGUGUCAAUAGAAGGUGGAAAGGUGUUUCACCUAUGGAAUAUUCAUUUUGUGCUUAUACUAUACAAUAUAAUAAUCUACUCUAAUGUGUAAGAUAAUUAUGUGAUAUUACGUACUCAACUAUGAGAAAUUUAAUUCUUGAGCAGUGAUGGUGCCGAAGAAUAUUAUGAAACUCUACAUUGACUGCUACGAAGCUCUAUUCGAGCUAGUCAAUUUGAAAGUUCUCAAAAAAUUGUACAACUUAGGGGUAAGAUAUAGAUGAAGUAGUGUUAUCCUUGCUUUCUUGAAGUCAUAGCGAGAAUUUAAUUAUAACAACACACUCUUUACCGAGUAUCAGAGGAUGAAGUUAUUGAGUCUAAUUGUGGAUUGCAAGAUAUAUCAAUAUCACCACUGCUAAAUACCCUUCAAGAACACAAAACAAUUGUUGUCUUGGACCUUUCUCACAAUUUGUUAGGUAUAAUGAUUUAUUUGGACAUUGAUCGUUGACAGAAAAUGCACAUGGGAUUUUGCGCUUGCUUGCUUCUCAAUUGACAUGCAAGCGACGCAUUUCACUUCCUAACUUUAUAUAGUCUUCAUUAUAUGAGUUAUAUGUAUUUUAGUGUCUAACUAAUUUUUUUAGUUGUGUUACAAGAAAUGGAAAAGUGGAACAACUUAAGCAAGUGUUUACUGUUAGAAUGCAGAAGCGGAAUCAUCUAGAAAUUAAAAAAUUUCUUUAAUUCAAUAAACAAGAUCGUCUAGAUGUUCCUGUGUAUGUUAUAUCAAGAAUAAGUUAUAUCAAGAAUAACGUAUUUGAAUUUUUACCCAAAUUCGAUGAUCAAUUCUUGAAUAAAUUUUGAAUUACGAAAUUCCAGCUUUUUAAUUUCAAGAACUUGAUGUUUCAAACCUCCAAAUCUCCUGUGAUAUUUUCCAAAGUCAAAGACUAUACCUGUGGAUGGGCACCUUCUUUUAAUUAAUCAAGAAAGUGAUUCUUGAAUUGAACAAUUGAAUAAGAUGAGCAAAUAAUUAUUUUCUCUCUUUUUCUUUCUCCAAAUUUGAACACUAUGAAAUUAUGUAUUAUGAUUGUUGUACAAUUCCAUAUAGUUUCCAUUUAAUCUCUAUUUAUAGAGAUAGAAUAGUUUUAAUCCUUGUAAAAUAAUAAUUCAACAUUCAAAUAAAAGUUCUAAUUAAAAUCUAAGUACGAGUUUUAAUUAAAGUUCAGAUCCAAUUAGCUUACAUUUAAUUUCAUGUGCAGUUCUAGAACUUCAAUUACAAUUAUAAUUUAAUUUACAACUUUUAUAGUAAUUACAAUUAAGUACAAAACUUUAUUGAAUUACAAUUAAGCCCAAAACUAUUAUAAUUAUCGUAAAUAAGUUUCAAUACUUUAUGGAAUUACCAUAGGGACUUGAUUGGACAUAUAUUAUUCAAGCUCCAAUAGUUAGAUUAUGUUUAAUCAACCAUACACCACCCAAUCCAAUUAUUAGGGUUUACUUUUUUCACUUUUUUCACUAAAGACAUAAGACUGAACUCUUUGAGUGUAUAAGAUCACAAAAAACAAUAAAUUCGUAAUGCUUUCAUUUGACCUAUCAUAUAUGUAUUUUAUCCUCAUUCGAGAUUCGAUAAUUAGAUACGAGCAUAAAUGAUCAUUUUGUCAUUCUAAUUAUUCUCACUAACUUAAGUAUCAUUUUCUUCAAAGGUCCUGUAAACUAAUCACAGAUGUUGAAGUUUGGACGUCGCUAAACACUGAAUUUAGAUUUUAACCGUUCCACAGAAAAUACUCAAGUAGUCACUCUACCUAUUUUUUAGGGCGACAGUUCUCAAUACGAAUUCAUGUUCUGUACUCCGCUCAUUCUCAAGUUUUCAACUCAUCGAAAUAUUUGACCAAUCAAAUUGAUCUUACCCACCCAUUGAUGAUCAAAGAAUCAUUAAAAUCACGAAAAGAUAUACAUAAUCAUGUCAAAAGAUUUAGAUGAAAUACACAGCGGUCAAGCGAAAUUUAAUUCUCCUCAUAAUCAUGCUAUAAAAUUUAAUUCGACACGUGGUCCAUUCAAUACACUUCAAGUGUAUUAGUGUCAUCUUUAACUAUUUUUGUGUUAAAAACAAAACAUAAACCUCAAUAGUGAAUCGAUCAAUAUUACAACCUUCAACACAAGGUGCCAACCCUUAUACAUUGCUUGUGAACAAAUUGUUUAUAAUCAAAAUAUAAGAUGUGUCACACAGUACUUCUCAACGCAAGUACCCAACUUAUAUUAAGUGAUCAUAGCACUUUAAUUGGUAUGCUCAAUAUAAAUAAAUACAAUAAAUAAAUCAAGCCAUAAUUUAUUUAUUAUAAAUUAUAGCAAAAUAUACGAUAUGGGCACACAACCGAACAAAUCUCUCACUUGUCCUAUAGUAUGUGCGUCGCAUCUUGUAGGUAUCCCUCAAAAACUUUAGCCAAUAGGCUUUUAGUAAACAAGUCUGCAAGUUCAUUCCAAUAACAAUGUUAUUGACAACCACAUUUUCUUUACCACUAUCUUUCUUAAGAGAUGAUAUUUUCGUUUAAUGUGUUUAUCGCUCUUAUAACUUUUGAUUCUUUAGCAUUUGCAACAGUCCUACUGUAAUCCCAAUACAGUGUAAAGGAUUGUGCAUAUGCAAGCACCACCUCAAUGCCCAUAAGGAUUUUUUAAGUCAUACAGCUAAUUCAGUAGCUUAACAAGCUCCCAAAUACUUUGCAUCAACGGUGAAAUUAGCAGUGCAUGAUUGCUUGAUAUUGCUCUUGUACCUAUGAUAAUUUUAAACUGGUCUUCACUGAGUUUCUACUUUCUUGAAGUACCCGCAUCAACGUACAGAUAUGAUUAAUGGUUCCAAAAUCUACAAUUUUGGAAUUUGUAGCAUCAACUACUAAACAAUAUUUAGUAACGAAAAACUUCACACUUAUUUUACUUUCUAGUUGGUGCAUCUGUGCAGUCUUUCUCCAUUGUCCUUUUUAGACCGUAGUCGAAACUCCUGCGUCAAGGCUUUCCAUCUAUUUUUGAUCUUUUGUUGCUCUCAUGCUUAUUAAUAGCUUUUUUCCUCUUCUUUCAAAAUCUGCCCUUUUUUACUUGGAAACCAGAGGAGUCACCAACUGAUGCACAAGCAUCGUCGUUUUACUAUUAAGACCACUUUCCACAUUACAACUCUCUUAUUAUCUCAAUCAAUGGUAUUUUCAUCUUGUAUAAGUGAUAAUUCAUAGUAAACUAUGAAAAAUUAUCAAGUAAAGAAAUAAAUGCCAUAUAAAGAUAGAUGGUUGCAUCCAAACUCUCAGCCAUGUUUGAAGUAUGCAAUCAUAGUCCGCCUAUGAACCUUCAAAGGCAUUUUGAAUUGCAUGAAUAUGUUCUAUAAGGUACAAAUGGCUUCAAAAGAGCCUUCAUACUUCGAUGACCAAACAUGCUCUAAAGGGCUAAUAGUAUGUCAUGGGAGGUACUCUGUGGCUAUGAUGCUCGGACUCUUCAAAAAUGGUGAAGUACCCGUGUCGACAUGACACGACAUGGAUACCGACACGGGAUAUGUGUCGGAUCCUCGGUUUUGAACUCGGACAUGGCUGAAAAAGGGAGAAAACAAUGGACGGUGAAGUAUUGCUUCUAACUUGCGUUUGUAGCGGCAACAACCAUUUGUUUUUAGUCUUUUGAUAGAAAUAUGUAGAAAUUUAUGGAGGAUUGCAGCAACAUUCUCAAAAUUUUGCAAAAAGGAGGAGUCCAAUGAAGAAGUUAAUCAUACGAGGGAAUUUUCGUAACUAGUUGGGCUAUCCUUCAGUAAGUGUAUUUUUCCAAUAAAAAAAGAAGACGAAGAAGAAGAAGAAGAAGAAGAAGAAAUAAAUGAAAGAAUUAAGUGGUUUAAAAGUCAACAAUUCAUACUGCCAUAAAUUACGUGUUAUCUCUAAAAGUUUUAUUAUUUAUUGUAAAUGGCAUGAUUUAUUGUUUGCUUUAAUUGAAUCAUUUUUUUAGGAAAAAAAUUAUAAGACGUAUCCCCGUAUUGGUAUUCAAAAUUCGGAUUUUUUUUAACCGUAUCCCCAUAUCUUAAUUUUUAAAAUGAGAAGAAUCCGACUCCUAGAUCUGUACCCGUAUCCGACACCCGCACCCGAGUCCGAGCAUCAUAGCUCUGUGGUAGGUGUUGUCUCUGAGUCUUGUAUCAUUCAUCAAUGUUGGAUGUGAGUUAUGGGCCCAUCAACCCCAAUAUCCUGAACAAUUUAUUUUAAAAUAUGUUGAGAGUCCAUUUGCAGAGCCACUUAAAGUUUCUCAUCCAAUCCCAAGUCAUAAAGUUCCCCUACUUCAUCUCCACUUGGGAGGCGCCAUAGUUGGAGCUAUUAAUUGUAUGGUGCAUCAUCACCUUUAGUUAACCCAUCACCUUCUCCCACAUGUUCUGAAUCAAAUGUUGCUUCCCUCACCACCCAUGAAAGCUGUAUAACCCAGCAUUGUUCUAGCAUGUACAAGACAAGCUCAACAACUGAUAAGGUAUUCUGCAUUUCUCAUCGUUGCAUAUUAUUCUGUUUUGAGAAAGAUGUAGCUCAAAGAAUGUCGAAGGUGGAACCUUCAUCAAAUAUCUCGCCAGCUAAAUCAUUCUUUAGAAGCUCCAGUAGGUUCUCUUAUCAGGAUGAUUAUGAUGACUAGAAUUUUUUAGACCAUUUGUUGUGGACUAUGAUAACAUGACAGAUCUAGGCACCAGGUAUCAUACAACAUUCUUGGUUGCAAUUUGGUAAUUUUACAAGCAAGGCACUUGCUGCUAAAAUGUUUUAUGGAUAAUUCAUGACUAUACGAGUUUGUUGUCUUCCUAUUGUUGGUGAUGUUCGAAUAAGGAAUCAAAACACUGAUAAUAUAUGGGAUGAAACCAAAAGGUUCAUGCUUAAAGAGAUGUGGCAAAUUUGUCAACUUGAAAUAUUGUGUUUCCAUCGAGUUGAAAACUAAAUAUUCAAUGAAAAGAGACACAAGUGAAUAAUGAUGUAAAUACUAUUCAAAUAACUGUUGUCUAGAAUUAUAGCUUACAUAGAAACAAUUCAACCUUGGGAGUGACCUGGCGUAUUUACCUUGCUUCAAAAUAUUUGCGCAUCUUGGUCUCAAAAUUAUGCACGAAAAGGGUGCUCAAAAGGUUGUUCAUCAUGGUGUUUAGAGAAUUAUAUCCUAAACUUGUCAUCUCAUUUCUAAUUUUACUAAUGAAAGGAAAGUUUCUAGAUAGUCACCCGAGGAGUAUUGCAUGUGGAAAGGCAUAAAUGAUGUAACUAGAUUAUGAUUCCUUAGAUAAAUUGAAUGCUUUGAGAAGAAGUGCUAGACCUUGGUAAGUUAAUCUUCAUGCCAAAUUUUCCUAUCGAGCCUAGAUUGUUCUUUGGAUGUGGGAUUGUUGAUCAAAAAAUGUGCAGCACAAAUGAAUUUACUUGAGAAGCUUGGUUUAGUUGCUUUUAAAACCUUCGAGGUGUCUGUAUAUUUUUAUGCAUUAAGGAUAAAGAAGUAUUGCUAUCUCUUUUCUUCUAUUUCUAUUCUCUCAUGCAAGUGUUGUUAUAUUUAUUUUUAUUGUGCUGCUUUUGUAUUUUUUGAGUUUUUCUGAGUCAUCCCAACUUCUUUCUUAAGCACAACUCCCAAAAAAUUUUCACAUGGAUUCAUCAGCUGUGUCUCUGUCUGCUCAACCUCCACAAUCCUUGACUUAGUGAUCCUCAUCCAUUCUUCUCUCCUCAACCACUCCAUCUUCCUUUUCUUCUUUUUUCUUUAACUUUGUCUCCAGAUUCAUUUCUUCAUAUAUCAUUGCUUCAAUACUCAUCUCAUUUCUCUAAUGUUUUAUUGUCUAUCCAAGUCCACAAUCUCCCAUCAUACCAAGGGGUCUCUUUCCCCCUUAAAUUCAAGGCAUGUACUUGACUAAAUCUCCAGUUGAUGUGUGCGAUUGAUUUUCUCAAAAAUCAAAUCUUAUAAGAUUAUCCAUUGUAAAUUCCAUUUCUUUCAUCAUGUCUAUCAUUAAAAUAUGAAGGAUUCACUACAAUCUAAUAUUUUUCUCAAAAUGGAAGACUUUCUUCCAAAUACCGAUCCACCGUCAGAUGAACUUCUGUAAGAUUCAUCGUCUUAUCCCUUUCAAGUUUCGAAAUCAUAUACUUAAAAUGACCGACAACAUUUUUCAAGAUCAAGUUCUUCCAGAUAAUAUGUCGUUACAAUGCAAGCUCUAGAGGGAACUUAAGAAGAUAAUCAAAAAGUUCAUGGUUGAGAUUGAACCCGUAAAAAACAUAAAACAAGCUUCUUAAAAAACUUCCACGAGAUGCUAUGCAUCUAGGUACUGGCUUCCGAUAUAGUUGUACAUGUUAUUCUUCAAACAAUAAUUGCAUUUUAUAUUUUUAACAAUAUUGUAAUAAUUGAGAAAAUAAUGAUAUAAUAUCUACAAGAACUUGGUCUUGAAAAAUGUUGUUGGUUGUUUUAAACAUAUGAUUUCGAAACUUGAAAAGAAUGAGACAAAAAUGACAUUGUAGAAGUUCAAAUUUUAUCUGACGGUAAGUUGGUUUUUGGAAGAAAAUCUUUUGUUUUGAGAAAUAUUGUAAUGAAUCUACUUUAGAUUUUAAUUAUUGAUAUAAUGAAAGAGAUGAAAUUUACAAUGGAUAAUAUUAUAAGAUUUGAGGAUAAAAUUGCUAAAACAAGCAAUUAAUCACAUAUAUCUAAAGAUUUAAUCGAAGUACAUGCAUUCCCUUGAAUUUAAGGGAAAAUGAAACGCUUUGGGAGGGUGGGAGGCGGCAAACUUGAAUAGACAAAAUGAAACAUUGGUGGAGAUGAUUGUAUCUAUGAUAUUGAAGCAAUAGUUGAUAAGAAAAUGAAUCUAGAGAAAGAUUUAAGGACGUAAGAGGAAGAUGAGAGAAAGAUGGAAGAGUUGAGGAGAGAAGAAUGGAAAAGAUCGUUAGGUUAAUAAUGGUGGGUGUUGAGCAGAGGAAUGAAAGGGAGGUUGAGCUGAUGAAAAGAUAAUUGGACACAUAAGUAUGGCAUGUGAAUGAAUUUUUGGGGAUUUUGCUUUAGAAAUGAGUCAAAAUGAAUUAAAAAACUCAACAAAUACAAAAAUAGCACAAUAACAGUUACUAUAACAACACUUGAUAAGAAAAAAUAGAAAUGGAAGAAAGUAGACCGUAAGACAUUUUCAUCCUUAAUGUAUAAACAUGCAAAUACCACAGAGGCUUUAGAAGUGAAUAAUCCAAACUUCUCAAGUAGCUAGUUGGACCAAACAAAGUUUGUUGCAGAGCAGAGCUUCCUCAACGUUGCAUUACCAUCUUCAUGCCUAAAAAGCAAACCUAGUUAAUACUUUUAUAUACGCAUCAACUUAUAUUUAUAUGAACCCCAAUCAGGAGAUUCAAGAAAAUAUUUAUAGAAAGGAAACAAGAUUUGCAAACUGAUUUUAUUGAUUUAAAAAAAAAAAAAAAAAAAAAAAAAAACUCUAUCAAGUGUCCAGGUAAGAUUUGAUGUUGUGCUGUAGGUGAAAAGGAUUUCAAUAAGAUAUAAUUUCAUAUUAUUAAACAAAUGUACAAUAUAGAAGUCUGGAGAUUUAGUAAUCGUAAUAGGCUGGAGCAAAGGAUUUUUCAUGGAUGAGCUUAAGAAACAUAUCCAAGAUGAGAUCCUUGGUUUGUGGUAUCCUCUAAUAAAUUGAUAAGAGUGCAAAAGGGAUAAAAAUGCAAAAGAUCACACCAUUAUAUUUUUCUCUUGACUCUUAACACAGCAGCCUACUAUGAUAUCUCCUGAACAUGUUGAUUCUAUAAGAUGAUUAUCUCUAUAAUAAAAUAAAGCAGAAAGAUAACAUGCAAAUAAUGUCGAAGAAUUGGAUUACCUUUCGAUGCUCUUUACCUCGCAACAAAAGCUCUACGGGUAGAAGAUCAUGAUCAAUUUUAGCAUGUGCCUUGUACUUCAACUUGACAGUAGAUAAUUCUCCUUGAAAGCUAUCUUUUAGUUUAUACACUUCAACUUUUUCGAAGAGCUGUAUACCAUAUACAAAGGUGAUAAUAUGCCUUGAGUCAGAAUUGAAACUUCUGGGUUCGCUUCAUAGGAAAUAAUAUUACCUGACUAAGACAAAAAAGGAUACGACUACAAUACUCGGAUCUCAAAACCUACAAGGCAACAACAAACAUAUAUCAUGCAUUCAUUUCCAACUUGACAAGGUUGACUUGAGUGGUGAUUUUGUGAAGAUACAUGGAGUCACAUAUCCAAUAAAGUGCAACGUAAUAUAUCAUAAUAAAUAGUAAAAUCCCAAAGAGCUUCAUUUCCCCGAGAGGGGUAUGUCUGUGUGAGGAUCAAAUGGAAACAAUUCCUGGUUCAAAAAUUGACAUACAUUUCCAAUAUUGUAAAAACCCAAGAAAAUAGUGAUUGCAAAAGCUCAAAGUAAACAUCAGCACUUGCUGUCUUCUAAGCAUAAAGGGAACCAAAAUGGUACAAAAUUUAGAAAGGAAUUCAAAUCCAGAAUAAGUUUCAGCCAAGGCACCCAAAUUCAUUUGCGGAACAUGACACUGAACCCAGACAUAAGGUACACUGAAAGCCACUAGUUUGCUUGUAAAUAAAGAGAAAAGUGCCGCCCGUUGCAAAACCUUAGCCGCGGGUGCACAAAAUAGACUCCAAAAAAUCUAUAAAUUUUCUUCGACUGCUUUGUUUGCAAAUUGCUUAAUUCAUUCCAAAAACACCUAAAACUUUUGAAUUCUGUGUUUGCAAAUUGCUUACAUGAAUUGCAUUAACUAAUUUGCAAGUAUCACCUUUUUAAACAUAAAAUUUUUGUUGUACAUGUGGCUCAUAUAGAGUGGAACACAGGUCUUGGAUCAAAUGGGUCGAUGCGGGCGCGAAGCGGAGUGGAGUGGAGUGAGAGGAGCGGAGCGACGGCAUCGGUCUUGCGCGGGUUUAAUUCACUCUCUGGUUGUUAGGGACGCUGAAUAGGUUGGGGGUGCGAGAGCAGCGCCCCGCAGUACGGUACAGGGGUAUUUUCUGUACGGGCCUUAAAGUUUUAUAUGGGCCCAGGCUAGGGUUAGUAUAAAAAUACGUUGUAACCCUAUUUUUCAGAACUGAAUAAAGAAAUCUCUACUUCGCUCUCGUGGACAUAGGCACAUCGUCGAACCACGUAAAAUUCUUGUGUUGAUUUUCGUUUUCAUCUCUUUAAUAUUGCGCAUAAAAUCCAACAACUGGUAUCAGAGCUAGGUUCAGAUGGCGAGUUCUUCGGUUGCAAAAUUUGAUGUGAUGAAGUUUGACGGAUAUGGGAACUUCGGAUUAUGGCAGCGAAGGGUGAAGGAUUUGUUGGCGUGCAAGGGAUGAUGAAGGCACUAUCUGGGAAGAAACCAGAGGGUACGUCAGAUGCCGAUUGGGAAGAGCUCGAGGCUCGAGUAGUUGGUACAAUUCGGCUUUGUUUGGCGGAAGAAAUCAUGUAUCAUGUCAUGGACGUUGAGUCUCCGACGGAGGUUUGGAAGAAAUUGGAGAGUCGUUAUAUGUCAAAGUCUCUCACGAACAAACUGCCAUCAGAUGGGCCACUUUAAGGGAGACUGUCCUAAUAAGAAGCAGAAUGAUGAAAGGAAAGGUGAUGGGUCCUCAAACUCAGCUAGUGUUGCAGAAGGAGACUCGGAUUCUGGAGAUGGAGACAUGUUAUCAGUCUCUGCAGGUAAUUCUGUAAAAUUAAAUGACUGUUGGAUACUUGAUUCAGCCUGUUCAUAUCACAUUUGUCCUCACUGGGAUUGGUUUCAUUCAUAUCGUUCUGGUAAUUUUGGAUCUAUUUUGAUGGGUAAUGAUGUAUCAUGUAAGGUCAUUGGAAUGGGGUCCAUAAAAUUUAAAAUGUUUGAUGGUGUGAUAAGGACCUUGAAAAAUGUUAGGCAUGUACCUGAGUUGAAAAAGAAUCUAAUUUCUUUAGGCACUUUAGACACAAACGGUUACUCUUAUAAGUCAGAGUGUGGGGCUCUAACAGUGAAGAAAGGGGCUAUAAUUGUGAUGAAGGGUCAGAAAUUAGUAGGGAAUAUCUACAAACUACUCGGGGAUACAGUUGUAGGUGGAGUUGCUACAGCAGAAUCAGAGUCAGAUGACACUCUUCUAUGGCAUAUGCGACUGGGGCAUAUAGGAGAACGUGGCAUGGUUGAGCUUCACAAGAGGAAUUUGUUGAAGGGGGUAAAAUUAUGCAAGUUGAAUUUCUGCAAGUUCUGUGUACUUGGAAAACAGUCCAGAGUACAGUUCAAGAUGGGAAAGUACAAGACAGAGGGAAUUCUUAAUUAUGUGCACUCAGAUGUUUGGGGACCAGUGAGGGGGUUGUCCAAAGGUGGAUCUCAGUAUUUUAUUACUUUCAUUGAUGACUUCUCUAGAAAAGUUUGGGUAUAUUUCAUGAAGCACAAGUCUAAAGCCUUUGCCAAGUUCAAAUUAUGGAAAGCAGAAGUAGAGAACCAGAUGGGCAGAAAAAUUAAGUAUCUGAUGACAGAAAACGGUACAGAGUAUACAGAUUCACAGUUUCUGAGAUUUUGUGAGGAGCAUGGUAUUCAGCGGCACUAUACAGUUUGCAAGACACCGCAACAGAAUGGUGUUGCAGAAAGGAUGAACAGAACAAUUGCAGAACAAGCAAGAUGUUUAAGGCUGAAUGUAGGGCUCUCGAAGAGUUUUUGGGCAGAGGCAGUAAACAUGGCAUGUUAUGUCAUAAACAGAUCACCACGAGCAGCACUAGAUGGGAAAGUUGCAGAGGAAGUUUGGAUAGGUAAUGAAGAUGAUUAUUCUGAAUUGAGAGUCUUUGGUUGUCCGGCGUAUGUGCAUGUAUCUAGUGAUCAGCGAUCCAAACUUGAUCCGAAAUCAAGAAAAUGCAUUUUUUUGGGCUAUGUUAGAAGUGUAAAGGGAUACAUUUUUUGGGAUCCAGAGACAAGGAAGAUGGUGAUAAGUAGGGAUGCAGUAUUUGAUGAAGCAUUCAUGCUUAAAGCUUCUACAAAUAAAGAGAAGCUCGAUUCAGACAAGGGCAGAGGUAAGAGUCAAGUGGUGCAAGUAGAGCUAGACAAUGUAAACACAAAAAUUAAUGCUCAGGGAGCAGAUAGUUCUAGGUCACGGGUGGAGCAGUAUCAUAGUGUUGCCUUAGAUAGACCACGUCGCACGACCAAGCCACCAGCAAAGUAUGAAUUCGAGGAUUCGAUUUCUUAUGCACUCAUUACCAGCAAUAGCGAUCCUAUAACUUUUCAGGAUGCCAUUGGUAGUCAGGAGAAAGGUAAAUGGAUAGAGGUUAUGACAGAGGAAAUUGAAUCACUGUAUAAAAAUGAUACUUGGGAUUUGGUGGAGCUUCCAGAGGGGAGAAACAGAUAGGGUGUAAGUGGGUGUAUAGAAAGAAAGAAGCAAUGUCAGAAAAGGAAGUAAAAAGAUACAAGGCUCGAUUAGUAGCAAAGAGAUACUCACAGAGGAAGGGAGUAAAUUAUGAUGAAAUUUUCUCUCCGGCGUCAGACACACUUUCAUCAGGAUUGUUUUGGCAAUGGUGGCUAAUUUUGAUUUGGAGUUUAGAGUAGCUAGAUGUGAAGACUGCUUUCCUUCAUAGUGAUUUGGAGGAACAGAUUUUCAUGGAGCAGCCAGAAGGGUUUUUGGAACCAGGAACAAAGAAUCUUGUGUGUAAAUUGAAGAAGUCUUUAUACGGGUUUAAGCAAUCUCCACGGCAAUGGUACAAGAAGUUCGACUCUCAUAUGAUUCAGAUUGGCUACAGUCGUUGUGAGUAUAAUUGUUGUGUUUACUACAGAGUUCUUGAGGAUAACUCAUAUAUUUUCUUGAUGUUGUAUGUGGACGACAUGUUAAUUGCUGCUAAGAACAUGAAUGAGGUAAACAAAUUGAAAUCUUUGUUGAGCAGUAAGUUUGAUAUGAAAGACUUGGGACCGUCUUAGAAAAUUCUUGGCAUGGAGAUCAACAGAAAUAGGAAAGUUAGAAAAUUAUGGGUAUCUCAGAAAAAUUAUUUGAACAAAGUGUUAGAGAGGUUUAGCAUGUCAGAUGUAAAAUCAGUUGCCACACCACUUGCAAAUCACUUCAGAUUGUUUAAUAAUCAGUGCCCAAAGAGUGAAGAAGAUGUUGCAGAGAUGUCAAAGGUACCUUAUGCCAGCGCAGUUGGAUGUUUGAUGUAUGCAAUGGUGUGUACUAGACCAGAUUUAGCACAUGCAGUCAGCGUGGUUAGUAAGUAUAUGGCUAAUCUUGGUAGAGAGCAUUGGAGAGCUGUAAAGUGGAUUUUUAGGUACUUGAAAGGUACAAUGGAGUUCGGGAUCAUGUUUGAGAGACGACAUGUUGAUAUUUCAGUUCAAGGAUAUGUAGAUGCAGAUUAUGCAGGGGACUUGGAUGACAGAAGGUCCCAUACAGGUUAUAUUUUCACACUCACAGGUGGGCCCAUAUGUUGGAGGUCAAUGGUGCAAUCACUUGUGGCAUUAUCUACAACUGAAGCAAAGUACAUGGCGGCAACUGAGGCAGCCAAGGAAUUAUUGUGGUUGAAAGGGCUUGUCAGGGAACUUGGAAUCAAGCAAGAUGGAAUGAAGCUGUACUGUGAUAGUCGGAGUGCCAUCUUCCUAUCUAAGAAUCAGAUUUAUCAUGCAAGAACCAAACACAUUGACGUGAGAUUUCAUAAAAUAAGAGAGUUGGUUACUUCAGAAGAGCUGUUGUUAGAGAAGGUGCAUACCUCAGAAAAUGCAGCAGACAUGAUGACAAAGCCAAUCACAAUGGAUAAGUUCAAGCACUGCUUGAACUUGAUUAAUAUCUCUAGCUGUUAGAGAUGUGUCCUAACCCAUUGGUCCUAGAUGGUGUGAUUUUUUUCAGGUUAUGUUUUUUUCCCUAAGGGGGUGAAUAUUCGCCAAGGUGGAGAUUGUUGUACAUGUGGCUUCGACCUUGCGCGGAUUUAAUUCACUGUCUGGUUGUACGGUAUAGGGGUAUUUUCUGUACGGGCCUUAAAGUUUUAUAUGGGCCCAAGCUAGGGUUAGUAUAAAUAAUACGUUGUAACCCUAUUUUUCAGAACUGAAUAAAGAAAUCUUCGUUUCGCUCUCGUGGACGUAGGCACGUCGACGAACCACGUAAAAUUCUUGUAUUCAUUUUCGUUUUCAUCUCUUUAAUAUUGCGUAUAAAAUCCAAUAAUUUUUAUAAGAGUGCUUGUGUUCUAAAUGCAAUAAACCAUUUAACAUUAAAUUUUUAAGCUAUAAUUAAGUAUCCAAGUCUGGAAUUAGAGUCAAUUUUGAUUGCUUCAAAAUAACCUAGUCCAUAGUUUCAUAAGAUCAAUAUAUAUUAUUAAACGUAUACAUUAAAUACCUUGGUAACGAAGUUCCUUCAUCAACCAAAAGCUCCAUAGCAAGCUUAAUGGAAUAAAAAACUAGAGCAUUCUGAUUGAUGGCCUUCCUAAGCCACGUGCCACCAAUACCUGUGUAACCAUCGAGAAGCACUAAGUUAAAAGCUCCGCAUCCAUUUUUCGCCAUGAGUUUCUUAAUAACGUCCUUACACUUGGGGACCCUAAUACUCUCCCGCAUGGAUAAUGCACCGUCGAUGGGUUGAAUCGAGUCACAAUAGACUCCAAUUACUAGAAUGCCCAUCAUCAUCGUCUCGAUAGCCACUUGCAUCCAGCCCCCAGGUGCAGCGCAGAGAUCAAGGACAAAUUAUUGGAGCAAAAAAUUUCGAACAAGUAAUCAAGCUAAACUAGCUUCCUGUGGCUAUAGACCUGUAAUCAUUCUCUUUCCCUAAUUGGUAAAUGCUUUUCAUCAUCUUUCCCCAUCACUAUUGGGUUUUAGAGAAGGAGAAGAAAGGUUGAGAUUUGGACUUCAGAGUUAGCUCUUGUUUAAUUCCCAUUUUGAGAGAAAGAAUGCAUUUUUAAAUAGUGUUUGAAGAAAAAUGUGUGGUUAAAAAUUAAGGAAAAAUUUUGGAUUUGUAUGUAAUAUUAUUUUACUAAAGAAUGUGUGGUUGAAAAUGAGUUUUGGAAAAAUAAAUUUUUAGAAGAAUGGUGUUCAAACAAGGGCUUAAGUAAUAUUUCUUUAGAUUAAGUUAUAAGGAAAAUUGCAGUAGCGAUCCCUAACCUUUUCAAUUUUUUCAAACUUUACCCUAACCUUCAAUUUGUACCAGCUAAGAUCCCUAACCUUUCAGAAAUAUGCACCUGAGAUCCAAAUGGAUGGAAACUGUCCAUUUGACCAUUAGUUGACAAAUAAAAUGAUUUUGCCACAUUAUUAAUUAUUUCUAUAAGGGUACCUUUCUCUCUUUCCAUAUAAAAAAAUUACAAUAAUUAAAUGAAAAAUAAAAAUCAUCAUCUUCCACAACUACCCCAUCCCCAUCUAAACCCCUACCCUUAUCCUUGCCUCAAAACCCAACCCUAGCUACCCAUCAUUGUCCUAAUCUGCCCACCGCCAUCAAUUCACAACCUCCACCACGUCUGCUACGCUCUUAUUCGUUGCCAAUUGAACCCAAAUGAGAAAUCAAAAUCGAUGCCACCACCACUUCGCCUCAAAAUUGAUGCCAUCACCACCUCUGAUUGCAAUGGUGAGCUACUCCUAUCUAUAUAUGAAAUUAAAUCAAGUUUUGACCAUCCAACAUUCUCAAGUUCAAUUUACGACUGCCAUUCCUCUACAAAUGUCAAGACAUUUCUUCUCUAAUUCUCAAAUUUCCUUAGAAUUUUGUGCGGCAGCACCAGAGCUUGGAGAAACUGCAACAACAUGAGCGCUUCUCAAACGGAGACUAUUUCAUGGUUUAACAACCAGCUUGCCAGCGAUGCUGCAGCUAAGGCCAUUGAGAAAGCUUGGACCAAGAAACAAAUUUUGCAAUUGCUGCUGCAGGAGUUGGAAUUGAGCCUAGAUUUGAAGAAUCUAGGAUGGUAUUAGGAUACUUAGCCCAGUGGCACUAUCAAUUUGGUGGAUUUCCUCUGAGUUUGUGGUAGGGGUGUCUGGUGUUUGAGGAUUGCAGGAGGAGGUGGUGGAUGUGUAGUGGUAGUGUUGGUGGUUCUUAUUUAAUUUUCAAUUUCUGCAGAUUCAUUGAUUGAGGUGGUGGCGGCUGUGAAUUUAGUGGUUGUGGCAGCAACAAACGGUGGUGGUUUUAGGCAAUGGAUUGUGGGGUGGGGUGGGGAAGGCAAUGAAUAGUUUUUUUCCUUUUAUUUUAAUUGUUUUAUAGGGUUCAAUAGCAAAGUUACCCUUUAAAUUGGUCAAAGUUCGUUAAAGUUCAAUUUUAUUGGUCAACUAACAGUCAAAUGGAUGAUUUCCAUCUAUUUGAAUGGUUUCCUCUGACAAUAACUCAUUCCACAAGCCAUAUAGCUUUGAAGUGACAUUUACCAUUUUUUGUACUUUCCAUUAAUGCCCUUUACUUUCCAUAGGCGGCUGGCACUUGUAUUUCCAAUUAGAAUCUAAGGGCAAAAUAGACAGCUUAGUUUCAACAGUAUUUUCCAAUUUGUAUCUGUUCUGACAUUUGUCUGACUUCUUAUCCUGUGUUAUCAUUCAUUAUUGUAGGGGGAAUGAGAUUUGGUCUAAAAAAAACUCAUUAAAAUGAGUACCAAAUGGCACUAGGUUUAAUAAUUCUAUAAAAUUUUAGUUUAUCAGAUAUUCUUUUGACUUUAGAUUCUUUAUUUUAGACUUGAGCCCCAUUUUAUUAUAUUAAGAAUGCAUUUUGAAAUAGUAAAUUGAUGGAGAAUGUGCGAUUGAAAAUAAUGGAGAUCAAACAAAGGUUAUAUAAAUAAGGUUUUAUUUAUGAAUAAUAUUUACAUCUCAUUAUUUUUAGUUCUUUUUGUCCUAGCUUGUGGGAUCGUGUUUCGUUGGCCUUCAUUUCAGUUUUGUGAUAAAAAUAGGUUUUUCUUUUUUGCGGUAUAAAUCUGCCUUCGUUUUUUGUCCAUUUUAGUUUCAUAUCAAAGAAAGUUAAUUUUGUUUUGUUUCUUUGUAUUUUACUGUUGGUCAUUGCUGGAAAUUGAUAUUCUUGUGUGGAUGCAUGUGAGGGAUCUUGCCUCGCUCAUAUUCGCUUCAGUUCUAUGGCACAUAGCAGGUUUAUUUUAGGUUAAAUUUAUAGAUUAAGUAUGCUGGUCCUUUUUUUUUAAUGCAUAUGUAUUAUGUCCUUCAGUUUUGACGCAGUUCCUUUAUUUUUGCCUGUCUAGGGGCUUUUUUCCACGAUUUUGUUUUAACCAUUGUACUAGAGCACAGGUAUAUCAUAUUCUAUUUUUAUUUUUAUUUUUAUUUUUUUCUAUUAGUUCAAAGACAUUUAGUAUGUUGUUGAAGAUGUUGACAUGAUUUGUGUGUUUUGUACUCAUUUUUAAGCUAAUCUUUGCACGUGCAUUGCAUGGGAUUUUUUUAAUUAUUUUUUAAUUAUUUUUUUAAGGUAAUGUUAGUGUAUUAAAUGUAUUGGAUUUUCUGUGAAUUACAUCAUGUUUCUUACAAUUAAAAAAGAAUAAAGGAGGAAAAUGAGUAACUCUAGCAUAAAAACCCUCACAAAGAGCUAAGAAAGAGAGAGCUCGUCCUCUCAGCAAACUGAACUCCCGUUUGUUUAUCAUUUUUUCAAAAAUGAGAAUAAAAAAUAUAGUCGUUAUGGGUCUCAUACAAGGGAUAGAAAUUCAAAUUCGGUGACUUGAUGUGAUGAAUAGCGAUCAUAUUUUUCAUUUUAAUGAGAAAAAAAUGGGAACAAAACAGGGGCUGAAUUAAAGAAAUUAUUUCACACGAGCGGAAAUGAAACUUUGGCAACAACAUUUUCAAAGGUAAAACAUUUUCAGAGUAGAAGAAAUGUUAUUGGAAUUUCUCAAAAAGGAAAUUAAAUCUAAGCAUUAAAUAUUGACAUAAAAGUUAUUAAGAAACUAACCCGAGUAAUACUUCAUCAUAAAAAAUUACAAUCUCAACACCAAAUGCUUCAAUCACACUCUUGGUUUCUACAUCAUUGCUUGAUCCUUUGUAUGUCCUCAGAUUUAGCGUUGCAAGUCUGCACCAAAUACAAUGGAAUACCCCAAAUUCACGCACUAUUUGAAAUUUCAUUUACUGUGUGCUACAUAAAAUAUAAUUUACAAAAUAAAAAAAAAUGAUAUAUUAUUCAUACUACUUACUUUUGAUACGUAGAACCAACAAAGAGUCUACCAGUGUUGGCGAGAUGAGCUAAUUGACUGGGUGAUCCUCUAUACCAAAUUAAUCGUUAGUAUCAACUUUCCUCGCGACCCCAAUGUCGUAACUGUUGCCAUGACAGUGCAAACAUUGCCAUCGAUGUUUAUUUUAUGAUGCCUAACUUAGUCAACUAAUUAUUGAAUACACUCAACAACAGGAUGUACCAAAUUACCAUUUUCAUUUCCCAAAAUGGAAUGAUUCUUUCACUUCCUGUUAAAUCAAAGAAAUCUAAAUGUAAACCACAAAAUUUAUGAAAGAUCACAAUAAAAUUGCAACACAAAUAUGACUCAUAUACUGGACUCUAGCUGCAUCUUUUACAAUUUUACCUGUUUCUUAAAACCCAAGCCGAACUUGAUUGAGUGACCCAAAUAAUCCAACAACCCCUUCAAACCCUAGCCCAACACACCACUUUAAUUUGAUAUGCUCAUUAUGUACAAAUAAUCUAACAGGAACUGUCACUCUUUUGGUUUUCAUUCUGAUCACAUCUCUGUCAUCCCCCAAGAACAUAAAGUCCAUCUUUGAGCCAUAUUCCAAGAAAAAAUGCAUUAUUCAUGUCAAAUCAAUGGAAAAUGUGUGAUUAAAAAAUAAGGAAAUGUUUUAGAUUUGCAUGUAAUAUUAUUUUAUUGAAAAAUGUGUGGUUGAAAUGAUGUCAAAUAAUUGUUGAAGAAUGUAUUUUUUUAAAAAUAAUGUGGCUCAAACAAGUCCAAAAUUAGGAAAACCCAACACUUCUGAAAAGCAGAUUCAUCAGAUUUAAUUUUUAUCUCAUUUCUAAAAUGUCACUUGAUUCACCAUUUCAAGAGCUUACCAUCCUAAACAAUCGGGAUCUUUGUGGUGUCAGACUCUCAACAUACAGGGUAAGUUUGCAAUGAAAGGGAACUCCAAUAGAUUUAACGUUCAAGGCCAUGGUAAAGCAAACAUUAUAAACAUUGGUAACCUAGCUAGUAGCAAAGAACACCUGUCUUUUAAUAUUCCUAACAAAAAUACUUGAAUUUUAAAAGUAAACAAACCAAUCCUUCCCAUAUAACACUGGGAGAAGUUUAAAAAAAUAAAGCCCACUAAAAUUCAAGCAGAAUGCCAUAACGAUUGUACCAAAUGUACUCUAUCCACCCAAAAUAUGGUAAAAACAAGUAACUUGAGUACCCCAAUAAGCAUUGUCAUUCUAGUUAAUUAAUCUUUGCCCUCGAGAAGUCUAUUCCAGGUGCUGCAAAUUUACAUAGGUAAAAUCAGUAUCCGCAUAAUCGAACAUGGAAUGCCUAUAAAAUGCAAAGGCAACAAGAAAAGAACUGGGAAUAAGGGUCAUUCACUGUAAAAGUAUUUGUUAUUGAAAUUGAAGUAACGUUACUACAACUCUUCAUUAGUUUAUAACAAAUACUUUGUCCUUUUUAUUGAAACUUAUUUUCAUAUACAAAUAAUUAUAUUGGACAUUUAUCUACCUGUAUCCAGACAAAUUUAUAAGAGAGCCGACAAAAAAUCACUCUCACAACUAAAAAUCAACUUUUCACUUGCGGAUAAUUACCGAUUGGUAAAAGUAUUAGACUUUUAAUUUCGAAAAUCACGAAAGAAAUUUCCGUUGGUAAUUGUGGUAGUUUUUUAUCAAUGGAUAUUCCAUGCCUACUGUUGUUAAGUACACUUACUAUUUACCAACAGCAUUUUCGUGGAUGAUGUCAUUCAACUAUUUUUUCUAAAAACUAUGUCAACCUUCCAUCUAUGAAUUUUUUGUGGGUGAAGAGAAAUUUAUAUUACCAACAUAAUUGUUAUUGUUAAUAUUAAUCAAUUUUAAUAAUUAAAAAAUUCAAACACCCUCCUACGAAAUAUCUGUAGGUAUAGGGUAAUUAAUUUUUUUAAAAAGAGAAAAUUCAACCUCUUCACCAGCAAAAAUUUCAUAGGUGAAGAAUAAUUCAUAUUACCUACUAAAAAUCUGUUGAUGAUAUUAAUUAAUUCUAAUAUUUAAAAAAAUCAAUUAUUCACCUACUAAAUAUACAUAGUUGAGGGGUACUAAAAUAUAAAUAAUUAUUUAUACAAUAGUUUUUUUUUUUUUAUAUGACCAUUGGUGUCCGGACCAACUUACGCGUACCUCGCCUAAUCCCACGGGCCUUGAAAUUUACAACCGAAUACUCACCUCAGUCGCCUUAAGAGGACUCGAACUGAUAACCAUUGGGAAGCAAACCCAAAACCGACUAUUGAGUUACAAUAGUAUAAUACACUACAGCCAAAUUAAAGGUACAAUACACUAUAGUCCAACUAAAGGAAUUUUUAUCCCACACUGAAAGUUCAUAACAAAAUCUUUGGAAGUGCCCUCUAUAAAUUAGUGGUGCAAUAAUUGAUUAAACAACUUUUUGGACCUUUCAAUUUAGUUGGCUAAAAGUUAAAAAAUUCAUAAUUAUUAAACAAUAAUAACAAUAAUAAAAAUUUAUACCACGCUUCGCACCUAUGUGACUAUUUAUGACACUGAUUUUUACUUAUUGUAAUAGUAGAUGUUUGCCAAUGGAAAGUCGGUAGGUAAUGAUUAAGAUUUUUACCAGUUAAAAUUUUCAUUGGUAAAAGGUUCACACUUAACCAAAACCCUCAAAUUAACAAUGAAUUUUUGGCUACUAAUAUCCCGUUAGUAAAGAGUAAUAGCAACGGAUAUCGUGGUUUAGAAACAAAAAAAUCGUGCUUGAGCCCCUUUUUUGGAGUGUCCCUUUCUUUUGAUGGAACGCAAAUUUGAGGUUCUGUAGAGAUUUGAUCAAUGAGAUAGGUCAUUGGUCGAUGGAUUUNUGGUAGAGAGCAUUGGAGAGCUGUAAAGUGGAUUUUUAGGUACUUGAAAGGUACAAUGGAGUGCGGGAUCAUGUUUGAGAGACGACAUGGUGAUAUUUCAGUUCAAGGAUAUGUAGAUGCAGAUUAUGCAGGGGAUUUGGAUGACAGAAGGUCCCAUACAGGUUAUAUUUUCACACUCGCAGGUGGGCCCAUAUGUUGGAGGUCAAUGGUGCAAUCACUUGUGGCAUUAUCUACAACUGAAGCAGAGUACAUGGCGGCAACUGAGGCAGCCAAGGAAUUAUUGUGGUUGAAAGGGCUUGUCAGGGAACUUGGAAUCAAGUAAGAAGGAAUGAAGCUGUACUGUGAUAGUAGGAGUGCCAUCUUCCUAUCUAAGAAUCAGAUUUAUCAUGCAAGAACCAAACACAUUGACGUGAGAUUUCAUAAGAUAAGAGAGUUGGUUACUUCAGAAGAGCUGUUGUUAGAGAAGGUGCAUACCUCAGAAAAUGCAGCAGACAUGAUGACAAAGCCAAUCACAAUGGAUAAGUUCAAGCACUGCUUGAACUUGAUUAACAUCUCUAGCUGUUAGAGAUGUGUCCUAACCCAUUGGUCCUAGAUGGUGUGAUAUUUUUCAGGUUAUGUUUUUUUCCCUAAGGGAGUGAAUAUUCGCCAAGGUGGAGAUUGUUGUACAUGUGGCUUCGACCUUGCGCGGAUUUAAUUCACUGUCUGGUUGUACGGUACAGGGGUAUUUUCUGUACGGGCCUUAAAGUUUUAUAUGGGCCCAGGCUAGGGUUAGUAUAAAUAAUACGUUGUAACCCUAUUUUUCAGAACUGAAUAAAGAAAUCUUCGCUUCGCUCUCGUGGACGUAGGCACAUCGCCGAACUACGUAAAAUUCUUGUGUUGAUUUUCGUUUUCAUCUCUUUAAUAUUGCGUAUAAAAUCCAACAAUUUUUAUAAGAGUGCUUGUGUUCUAAAUGCAAUAAACCAUUUAACAUUAAAUUUUUAAGCUAUAAUUAAGUAUCCAAGUCUGGAAUUAGAGUCAAUUUUGAUUGCUUCAAAAUAACCUAGUCCAUAGUUUCAUAAGAUCAAUAUAUAUUAUUAAACGUAUACAUUAAAUACCUUGGUAACGAAGUUCCUUCAUGAACCAAAAGCUCCAUAGCAAGCUUAAUGGAAUCAAAAACUAGAGCAUUCUGAUUGAUGGCCUCCCUAAGCCACGUGCCACCAAUACCCGUGUAACCAUCGAGAAGCACUAAGUUAAAAGCUCCGCAUCCAUUUUUCGCCAUGAGUUUCUUAAUAACGUCCUUACACUUGGGGACCUUAAUACUCUCCCGCAUGGAUAAUGCACCGUCGAUGGGUUGAAUCGAGUCACAAUAGACUCCAAUUACUAGAAUGCCCACAUCAUCGUCUCGAUAGCCACUUGCAUCUAGCCCCCAGUUGUAGCGUAGAGAUCAAGGACAAAUUAUUGGAGCAAAAAAUUUCGAACAAGUAAUCAAGCUAAACUAGCUUCCUGUGGCUAUAGACCUGUAAUCAUUCUCUUUCCCUAAUUGGUAUUUCUCAUCAAUGCUUUUCAUCAUCUUUGCCCAUCACUAUUGGGUUUUAGAGAAGGAGAAGAAAGGUUGAGAUUUGGACUUCAGAGUUAGCUCUUGUUUAAUUCCCAUUUUGAGAGAAAGAAUGCAUUUUUAAAUAGUGUUUGAAGGAAAAUGUGUGGUUAAAAAUUAAGAAAAAUUUUUGGAUUUGUAUGUAAUAUUAUUUUACUAAAGAAUGUGUGGUUGAAAAUGAAUUUUGGAAAAAUAAAUUUUUAGAAGAAUGGUGUUCAAACAAGGGCUUAAGUAAUAUUUCUUUAGAUUAAGUUAUAAGGAAAAUUGCAGUAGCGAUCCCUAACCUUUUCAAUUUUUUCAAACUUUACCCUAACCUUCAAUUUAUACCAGCUAAGAUCCCUAACCUUUCAGAAAUAUGCACCUGAGAUCCAAAUGCAUGGAAACUGUCCAUUUGAUCAUUAGUUGACAAAUAAAAUGAUUUUGCCACAUUAUUAAUUAUUUCUAUAAGGGUACCUUUCUCUCUUUCCAUAUAAAAAAAUUACAAUAAUUAAAUGAAAAAUAAAAAUCAUCAUCUUCCACAACUACCCCAUCCCCAUCCAAACCCCUACCCUUAUCCUUGCCUCAAAACCCAACCCUAGCUACCCAUCACUGUCCUAAUAUGCCCUCCGCCAUCAACUCACAACCUCCACCACGUCUGCUACGCUCUUAUUCGUUGCCAAUUGAACCCAAAUGAGAAAUCAAAAUCGAUGCCACCACCACUUCGCCUCAAAAUUGAUGCCAUCACCACCUCUGAUUGCAAUGCCGAGCUACUCCUAUCUAUAUAUGAAAUUAAAUCAAUGGCACAUAGCAGGUUUGUUUUAGGUUAAAUUUAUAGAUUAAGUAUGCUGGUCCUUUUUUUUAAUGCAUAUGUAUGAUGUCUUUCAGUUUUGACGCAGUUCUUUUUCCUUUUUUUGCCUGUCUAGGGGCCUUUUUCCUCGAUUUUGUUUUAACCAUUGUACUAGAGCACAGGUAAAUCAUAUUCUUUUUUUGUUUUUUGUUCUAUUAGUUCAAAAACAUUUAGCAUGUUGUUGAAGAUGUUGGCAUGAUUUGUGUGUUUUGUACUCAUUUUUUAAGCUAGUCUUUGCACGUGCAUUGCACGGGAUUUAUUUUUUUAAGGUAAUGUUAGUGUCUUAAAUGUAUUGGAUUUUCUGUGAAUUACAUCAUGUUUCUUACAAUUAAAAAAGAAUAAAGGGGGAAAAUGAGUAACUCUAGCAUAAAACCCUCACAAAGAGCUAAGAAAGAAAGAGCUCGUCCUCUCAGCAAACUGAAUUAAAGAAAUUAUUUCACACAUGAGCGGAAAUGAAACUUUGUCAACAACAUUUUCAAAGGUAAAGCAUUUUCAGAAUAGAAGAAAUGUUAUUGGAAUUUCUCAACAAGGAAAGUAAAUCUAAGCAUUAAAUAUUGACAUAAAAGUUAUUAAGAAACUAACCCGAGUAAUACUUCAUCAUAAAAAAUUACAAUCUCAACGCCAAAUGUUUCAAUUGCACUCUUAAUUUCUACAUCAUUGCUUGAUCCUUUGUAUGUCCUCAGAUUUAGCGUUGCAAGCCUGCACCAAAUACAAUGGAAUACCCCAAAUUCACGCAGUAUUUGAAAUUUCAUUUACUGUGGGAUACAUAAAAUAUAAUUUACAAAAAAAUAAUAAUAAUAAAAAUUGAUAUAUUAUUCAUACAACUUACUUUUGAUACGUAGAACCAACAAUAGUCCAGCAGUGUCAGCGAGAUGAGCUAAUUGACUGGGUGAUCCUCUAUACCAAAUGAAUUGUUAGUAUCAACUUUCCUCGCAGCCCCAGCGUUGUAACUGUUGCCAUGACAGUGCAAACAUUGCCAUCAACGUUUAUUUUAUGAUGCUAACUUAGUUAACUAAUUAUUGAAUACACUCAACAGCAGGAUGUACCAAAUUACCAUUUGCAGUCCCCCAAAAUGAAAAGACUCUUUCACUUCUUGUUAAAUUAAAGAAAUAUAAAUGUAAAUUACAAAAUCUGUCAAAGAUCAUAAUGACUCUCACUUCCUGUUAUAUCAAAGAAAUCUAUAUGUAAACCACAAAAUUUAUCAAAGAUCAUAAUAAAAUUGCACCACAAAAAUGAUUUAUAUACUGGACUCUGGCUGCAUCUUUUAUAAUUUUAUCUAUUUUUUAAAACCCAAGCCAAACACGAUUGAGUGACCCAAAUAAUCCAACAGGCCCUUCAAACCCUAGCCCAACACAUCACUUUAAUUUGAUAUGCUCAUUAUGUACAAAUAAUCUAACGGAACUAUGUCACUCUUUUGGUUUUCAUUCUGAUCACAUCUUUGUCAUCCCCCAAGAAGAACAUAAAAUUAGGAAAACCCAACACUUCUGAAAAGCAGAUUCAUCAGAUUUAAUUUUUACCUCAUUUCUAAAAUGUCACUUGAUUCACCAUUUCAGGAGCUUACCAUCCUAAACAAUCGGGAUCUUUGUGGUGUCAGACUAUCAACAUACAGGGUAAGUUUGCAAUGAAAGGGAACUCCAAUAGAUUUAACGUUCAAGGCCAUGGUAAAGCAAACAUUAUAAACAUUGGUAACCUAGCUAGUAGCAAAGAACACCUGUCUUUUAAUAUUCCUAACAAAAAUACUUGAAUUUUAAAAGUAAACAAACCAAUCCUUCCCAUAUAACACUGGGAGAAGUUUAAAAAAAUAAAGCCCACUAAAAUUCAAGUAGAAUGCCAUAACGAUUGUACCAAAUGUACUCUAUCCAGCCAAAAUAUGGUAAAAACAAGUAACUUGAGUACCCCAAUAAGCAUUGUCAUUCUAGUUAAUUAAUCUUUGCCCUCGAGAAGUCUAUUCCAGGUGCUGCAAAUUUACAUAGGUAAAAUCAGUAUCCGCAUAAUCGAACAUGGAAUGCCUAUAAAAUGCAAAGGCAACAAGAAAAGAACUGGGAAUAAGGGUCAUUCACUGUAAAAGUAUUUGUUAUUGAAAUUGAAGUAACGUUUCUACAACUCUUCAUCAGUUUAUAAUAAAUACUUUGUCCUUUUUAUUGAAACUUAUUUUCAUAUACAAAUAAUUAUAUUGGACAUUUAUCUACCUGUAUCCAGACAAAUUUAUAAGAGAGCCGACAAAAAAUCACUCCCACAACUAAAAAUCAACUUUUCACUUACGGAUAAUUACCGAUUGGUAAAAGUAUUAGACUUUUAAUUUCGAAAACCACGAAAGAAAUUUCCGUUGGUAAUAGUGGUAGUUUUUUAUCAAUGGAUAUUCCAUGCCUAUUGUUGUUAAGUACACUUACUAUUUACCACUAGCAUUUUCGUGGAUGAUGUCAUUCAACUAUUUUUUCUAAAAACUAUGUCAACCUUCCAUCUAUGAAUUUUUCGUGGGUGAAGAGAAAUUUAUAUUACCAACAUAAUUGUUAUUGUUAAUAUUAAUCAAUUUUAAUAAUUAAAAAAUUCAAACACUCUCCUACGAAAUAUCUGUAGGUAUAGGGUAAUUAAUUUUUUUAAAAAGAGAAAAUUCAACCUCUUCACCAGCAAAAAUUUCGUAGGUGAAGAAUAAUUCAUAUUACCUACUAAAAAUCCGUUGAUGAUAUUAAUUAAUUCUAAUAAUUUAAAAAAAAAAUCAAUUAUUCACCUACUAAAUAUACAUAGUUGAGGGGUAAUAAAAUAUAAAUAAUUAUUUAUACAAUAGUUUUUUUGUUUUUUUUUUAUAUGACCAUUGGUGUCCGGACCAACUUACACGUACCUCGACUAAUCCCACGGGCCCUGAAGUUUACAACCGAAUACUCACCUCAGUCGUCUUAAGGGGACUCGAACUGAUAAUCAUUGGGAAGCAAACCCAAAGCCGACUAUUGAGUUACAAUAGUAUAAUACACUACAGCCAAAUUAAAGGUACAAUACACUAUAGUCCAACUAAAGGAGUUUUUAUCCCACACUGAAAGUUCAUAACAAAAUCUUUGGAAGUGCCCUCUAUAAAUUAGUGGUGCAAUAAUUGAUUAAACAACUUUUUGGACAUUUCAAUUCAGUUGGCUAGAAGUUAAAAAAUUCAUAAUUAUUAAACAAUAAUAACAAUAAUAAAAAUUUAUACCACGCUUUGCACCUAUGUGACUAUUUAUGACACUGAUUUUUACUUAUUAUAAUAGUAGACGUUUGCCAAUGGAAAGUCGGUAGGUAAUGAUUAAGAUUUUUACCAGUUAAAAUUUUCAUUGGUAAAAGGUUCACACUUGACCAAAACCCUCAAAUUAACAAUGAAUUUUUGGCUACUAAUAUCCCGUUAGUAAAGAGUAAUAGCAACGGAUAUCGUGGUUUAGAAACAAAAAAAUUGUGCUUGAGCCCCUUUUUUGUAGUGUCCCUUUCUUUUGAUGGAACGCAAAUUUGAGGUUCUGUAGAGAUUUGAUCAAUGAGAUAGGUCAUUGGUCGAUGGAUUUGGCCGAGAAAAAAAUUAAAAUGGAAUUUGAAAAUUGAAUAGAAUAAAUUACGAAAAGAAGAUUACAUACCUUAAGUCCUUGUUCUGAGUUGUACUCGUCGCAUUUCAACUUCUUCAGCCACAGCUAACUUUCUUCUCGCUUAUUAGAGUAACUGAGUCAUGAGAAAUUGUUAAUUGUAGUGUAAAUUUAACAUGAAUAUUAUAUUUUAUAAUUUCAUUUAAGAGUAACAAAUUUCAUAUUGUUAGUAGAAAGUGAUCUAUUUAUUAAAAAGCACAUUUGGCAGUAGCCAUUUGAUAAUAUUUCCCAUUUUUAAACACGUAUGAAGCAGCCUGCAUAUAGCAAGCCCUAGUUUCACGGGGUGCCUUUCUUCUUGGCACAGAAAGGGACACCGUGCGGCAGUAGUCUGCCUUCCGCCUUUUCUCGGUCGCGUCGGGACGAAAGAAAAUUUGAUUGCAAUUUUGUAGAAAGCUUACAAUUGAGAAUUUGAAUACAUUGAAAGUAAAUUGAACAUUGAUUGCUGAAAACUGAACAUUACAAUUGAUGAAAGCAGAAAAUUACAAAUGCUGGUGCAGGGGGCGGACACCAGUGAGUUUGAAAGAUUUUUGAAUGACUAAUACCCCCUAUAAUAGCAUUCUGAACAAAAACCCAAGUGACGGGAGUAGACGUUUAAAAGACGAGGAAUCAUACUAAUCUUUUACCAAUAUCAGAGCUAUUUUACAAUUAAAAUAACUAUUACAAUGGUAAUCAGAGUUUUGGAUAGAAAAAAUAAUGAAGUCAUCUAUUUUUCCUAACAUACAUGCCAUUGGAAAUAGCAUUCUCAAAGCUAUCAAAAUUCACAGCAUGUGUGUUUAGACGAAUCAUAUUGUAAGUUUGCUUGAAAGGGAAUUUGGGACAUGACUCCAGUGAAGAGGCUUUAUUUAUUUUAUUUUUUUAUUUUUUUGCACUAUUUUUCCAGCAAAACCAUUCAUGUAUUGCUCUGGGCAAAUCAUUUUCUGACACGUGAAAAUUUAUCCUUCGAAAACAAACAAUAAUGCAAGAUGAAGACAGCAACAUAACAGUUCUUUCAACUAAUUGUUUAACACAUGUAAGUAUGUUAAUUUCGAGGAGCUGGACUAGAUUUACCUCUAUGUUUGAGCUGAUUGGGCAAGCGUUAAAUCCGACGGUAACAAAGUUCCAGAACGAUCAACAUCAAGGCUUUCACCCUUGUGUUUAAGAUGUUAAGGUUCUUGCUUUCAAAAGUUUCGAAAGAAAAAGAAAAACCACUGUUAGACAUCAUGUUAUCAAACGACCUCCCGGGCGAUGAUGAAAACCAAUUUUAUCAGUCGACAUGAAUGACUGAACGAUGUCGUCUUAAGGGGACUCGAACUGAUAAUCAUUGGGAAGCAAACCCAAAGCCGACUAUUGAGUUACAAUAGUAUAAUACACUACAGCCAAAUUAAAGGUACAAUACACUAUAGUCCAACUAAAGGAAUUUUUAUCCCACACUGAAAGUUCAUAACAAAAUCUUUGGAAGUGCCCUCUAUAAAUUAGUGGUGCAAUAAUUGAUUAAACAACUUUUUGGACAUUUCAAUUCAGUUGGCUAGAAGUUAAAAAAUUCAUAAUUAUUAAACAAUAAUAACAAUAAUAAAAAUUUAUACCACGCUUUGCACCUAUGUGACUAUUUAUGACACUGAUUUUUACUUAUUAUAAUAGUAGACGUUUGCCAAUGGAAAGUCGGUAGGUAAUGAUUAAGAUUUUUACCAGUUAAAAUUUUCAUUGGUAAAAGGUUCACACUUGACCAAAACCCUCAAAUUAACAAUGAAUUUUUGGCUACUAAUAUCCCGUUAGUAAAGAGUAAUAGCAACGGAUAUCGUGGUUUAGAAACAAAAAAAUCGUGCUUGAGCCCCUUUUUUGGAGUGUCCCUUUCUUUUGAUGGAACGCAAAUUUGAGGUUCUGUAGAGAUUUGAUCAAUGAGAUAGGUCAUUGGUCGAUGGAUUUGGCCGAGAAAAAAAUUAAAAUGGAAUUUGAAAAUUGAAUAGAAUAAAUUACGAAAAGAAGAUUACAUACCUUAAGUCCUUGUUCUGAGUUGUACUCGUCGCAUUUCAACUUCUUCAGCCACAGCUAACUUUCUUCUCGCUUAUUAGAGUAACUGAGUCAUGAGAAAUUGUUAAUUGUAGGGUAAAUUUAACAUGAAUAUUAUAUUUUAUAAUUUCAUUUAAGAGUAACAAAUUUCAUAUUGUUAGUAGAAAGUGAUCUAUUUAUUAAAAAGCACAUUUGGCAGUAGCCAUUUGAUAAUAUUUCCCAUUUUUAAACACGUAUGAAGCAGCCUGCAUAUAGCAAGCCCUAGUUUCACGGGGUGCCUUUCUUCUUGGCACAGAAAGGGACACCGUGCGGCAGUAGUCUGCCUUCCGCCUUUUCUCGGUCGCGUCGGGACGAAAGAAAAUUUGAUUGCAAUUUUGUAGAAAGCUUACAAUUGAGAAUUUGAAUACAUUGAAAGUAAAUUGAACAUUGAUUGCUGAAAACUGAACAUUACAAUUGAUGAAAGCAGAAAAUUACAAAUGCUGGUGCAGGGGGCGGACACCAGUGAGUUUGAAAGAUUUUUGAAUGACUAAUACCCCCUAUAAUAGCAUUCUGAACAAAAACCCAAGUGACGGGAGUAGACGUUUAAAAGACGAGGAAUCAUACUACAGCCUACUUACCAUAUUGUGACUUACCUUAAGUUGGCCAUUGAACUAAUAUAUAUAUUGGUAAUUGACUUCAUCUCCUUUGUGCCGUGUGUGAGAGAACCCGAGAGAGAGAGGCAUUAUUCUUCUUCUUCUCCUUCUCCUUCAUGCAUCCUGCCAAUUUAUCUUCCCUACCAAUUGCUUGAGGCUUUGUGACUCUUACCUGUGUGGUAUCCAUCCUAAGUGUGUGGUAGAAUCAACAAGCAAAAGAGCAAAUAGCAACCAUAGGAAGAAUUGGCGCCGGCGGUCGGUCAUCUCGUUUUUGGUGUUGAAUUCGAUGUUUAAUGGUUAACUGAGUUCGGAAAUCACUUUGAGCAGCUUGAGGAAGAUCCUAACAUCCACUCUUUUAAUCACUCUUAUGCUAUUCGUUUUAACCCCUUUAUGUUUAGAAGUAUUUCUUUCAAGCAGGGGAACCACAUCACAUUGCGGGUAGUUGGAAGGAAAAACAAUUAAAAAAAAAAUACAAUGCUCAAUCUCAAAAGAGUAGAAAAAAUUCCAUCCAAAUCUCAAUGCUAGUGACAUGCAAAUCCCAAUGUAUCCGUCUACCUUAUAAUUUAUCCAUAUUAAAAGUCAAAUGGAACAAAAACAAAUUUACCGAAGCACUUCUUCUACAAAAUUGUACGCCUCAACAAUUUCACAGAAUAGUAACACAUAAACAUGAUAAGAGGUGCAAUCCUGUCGGAAAACUUUGUUCUUGUGGGUGAUAAACAAUACACCAAAUCUCUCUCUCUCAACAUAAAUGUCUCCGGUGAAACUUUGGAAAGGAUGAGGUUCUUAGAUUGGGGAUAAUUUAUAACUGUUGAAUACCACAGUUGUGAAUUUGACUGCAGUCAAUCUAUACGCAUAGUAACCUAUUUGGCCCGAUAUGAAUUGUGAUGUGUACAGCAUUCAGUAAGACUACAGCAGAAAACAAAAUUUGAGUAUUAACAUUAACGUUCUACAAACAUUAAACGAUACCUCAACUUUAUCGAGCAUUGCUGGAUUUGCUCUCCUAGUUCUUAUGGACGUGAAAUUGGAUCUCAAAGUUUCAAUGGUCUUUUCCAUCCUUUCGGUCUGUUAAAAAAAAAAAAAAAAAAAAUUGAAAGAAUUAAAAUUAACCACAAUUGGCUUAUUGAAAACGCUACCAUGAGAAAAAUGUAAAUGCUUCAGUAAGCAAUCUGUUGCUGAUCAAUGCAAAAUAGUCCACAUGGAACUGGACAUUUAUACACGUGGCAAGCACCCAAAAAUUGAUGUAGAAGGGAUCAACAUCCGAGGUUGUUACAAGAUGCGCCAAGGUCGUUGCACUAAGUUCUUCCGAGGUGGCUUACCUUUUACUACCGAACUCCUAGAGUAUCCGAAGUCCUUGAUAACCAAAGGAGGUUCGGGCAAGCACGCCUUCAGAGUUGAUUGAUGUGAGCUUAUGUGACGCGCGUAGUUAAUGAGUGUCAGGAAUGUCAAUCUAGGUUUGUAGGCAACUGACCUCUUGUCGAAAUUCUAUCAAUGUAAUUAAUAUGCAAUAGAGUUGAUGUGACAUUAGGGCCGGCAGAUCAGGUCAUGUGGAUCAAAUCCCACGGUGACGACGUCGUCAUAAUCACUAUAAAUAAGCAAUUCUUGUAUCAAUUAAAGGGAUCUUAGAAACAUAGACGAGAAUACAAUAUACUUCCAUUAUCUACUGUUCAUCUCCUUUUACAAAUAUACUAUUAAUAGCUUACAUAUUGUGAAAUAUAUCCACGUGUACACUAUCUUCUAACGACACCUGUUGGCCAUUUUCAGAGGUCAACAGAUUGGCACCAUCUGUGGAAAGCUUGAAAUAGCUAAACCACGAAAGUCCUAUAGAUAAAGGAAAUAUGAGUUUUCAGAAAAGGCCAAGAAGGAGAACCUUUGAGAAAAAGGAAAUAUCCUUAGGCAAGAGGGGUGCGUGCAAAACAACAUUCGUACACAAAGGAUUUUGGAAAGAUAUCAUGAGUACUAGUGAAGAAGAACAUGCUCCUCGAAGAACGAGGGAACAUCCUCAAGAAGAAUAAUCCUCGCACAUUGCCCUAACGUCCCGCCACCAUUUUUAACAGCCAAGUAGACAUGGUGGCUCAUGCGGCAGGACUCGGGGAGGUUCUGGAUUGACCACUAGACUAACUAGGGAAGUAGCCACUAUGGCUGAGAAUAUGAGGAAUAUUACUCAGCAGAAUCUUGCUAUGCAUGAACUGUUGAGAAUCAUACAAGGCCAGGAAGGGCAUUCAAUCCCACGAUAUGCUCACCAGAAGAAUACUUUCCUACAAAGCAAUUACUAUAGAGGUGGAUGUGGUUCAUAGUCGAGGAACCGAAUAUCAAUAAUAUCCAAGGGAAGACAACCCUCGGGAGAGAGAAGUGGGAGUAGAUACCUUUAUAAAUUACGCUUCGGACCAAUACGCCAAAGUCCCCCUCAAUUUUCCACCAGAAUACAAUUCGGGAAAUCCGGCAAAAAGAUCGAUAAAUAUUUUUGACAGACUAAGCCCAGGACAACCUAGCAAUAAGUGUGACCAACGUCUGACGCAUAUGAAUAAGCAGCAAGAAGGGCCUCGGUUGGAAGUGCCCAAUGAUCCUAUGGGAGAAAAUGCCAACCCCCCGCUUAGGAAUAGGCGAGAAAGGAGAGCAGAACAAGCACAGCAACGAAUGGAACAAUCCCAACCGCCUGUGGAAGCCCUUGAUAUAGAAGGAGGUAAUUUCGGUGAACCACAGAGGUCUUGCGACCUCGACAAUGAUGAUGAUAACUUACCAUUUUCGCAAGAAAUCAGAAAUGCUCCAAUGCUAAACCAUUUCACACUGCCUAAGAUACCUAAGUAUGAUGGAAGAGGAGACCCUGCGAAACACCUCAACAGCUUCAAAACCCGUAUGGGACUUAGGGGUGCCACACCAGCAACGAAGUGUAGAGCCUUCCACUUAUCACUUAGCGGAGCAACUGAAGUAUGGUACAUUUGGCUGGCUGGAAGCAUAUGGAGCUAGUCGGACUUUAAUAAGGCUUUUUUUAAACAUUUCGCUACUAGCAAAGAGGGUGAAGGACCAAUACAGCAAUUGCAAGAUAUGAGACAACAGCCAGGAGAGUCACUGAAGAGAUUCCUGACUCGCUUCACUAAUGAGAUGAUCUACUGUGUACAAGUCACUGAAAGAGAAGCACUAACCACCUUAAAAAAGAAGGUUAGACAUGAAUUUUCUCUUUUGGAAGGAUAUGCAGAACAAGGACCCUGCUAGUUAUGACGCCCUGUUAGAAAUGAUACAAUGAGAGAUCAUCAAUGAAGAAUUUAAGGAUCAUCGUAAUAGGGCAAACCAAGGGCUCCCACCUCCACAAAUGUAGAGAGGAAAAGGUCCAACAUCACACCAGCAAGGUCGACCAUCCGCCUCUUUUAACCCGGGUCAGGCACUAGCGAUUGCAAAGCUCAACACCAUCCCAACUCUAGCUUAUGAAGAGGUAAAUCCUAACAUCAAGGUACACUAGGAUAGGGUACCUUAAUGACCCUCUAGGGGACAAAGAGAGAGAGGACGAGGCCCUCAACCUAGGAAUAGGAAUGAAGCCCCUCGGUAUUGCACCUAUAUUAUUUCUACAGUUAUAGUACAGCGGGAUGCUGGGACAUAGCCAGACACCCAUCCAACUAAAGGAGGAAUGAAUAUCAGGAAAACAAUCUCCCCAGAUAAGGUCGAUAAAGGAGAAAUAGCGAGAAUUGAACUUGGAAGAACAACUCCCAAGGGCGAGGUGACAAUCGUGCCAGACCUGAAAAAGGUCGUAAGCAUCGAAGGAGCCCUUCACCAAAUGCCGGAUACGAAACCAUUCGAGAAAUUGAUACCAUAUUUGGAGGGCCAUAGGUAGGUGGCGAGACAAGGAAUGCCGAAAGGAACUACGCUAAGGAAGCCAAGGACCCUCCAAUGGCCAGCUUCAUAGUCAAUAGUGGCCAAUCACUCGGUGAUAGAAAAAUUGAGCUCGUCACAUUCACCCAGGACGACGCUGUCGAGGUACAUUAUCCUUACUGCGACGCCCUAGUUGUAAGGGCGGUGGUGGCUAGAAAUGGCCUCAAAAGGAUGUUGGUGGAUAAUGAGAGUUCAGUCAAUAUAAUAUAUGGAUCCACUUAUGAAAAAAUGGAGAUAGACCAUGAGCUAACACCAGUAAAUUUCCUACUCUACGGGUUUACAGGAGACCGUAUCCUCUCCGGGGAAAAAUCACCUUGGCAACAGAGAUGGGAGUGGCGUCCCUCACAGCCCACAAUUUCAUGAAAUUUUUAGUAAUGGAUCAUCAUUCAGCAUAUCAUGGAGUGUUAGGGAGACCUUCCUUGAAAGAGCUAUGGGCAGUAACCUCCAUUCAUCAUCUCUACAUGAAAUUCCCACCGAACGGGGCAUUGCUGUUGUCCAGGACGACCAACAAAGCGUCAGGGAAUGUUAUUCUAGCUCUAUGCAAAAAGUCAAUCCAUCAAGCAUUAACAUCAAAUUAAUGGAAAUUGACGAGGUCGAAGGUCCUGCACAAGGGGAGGACGUCGACAUGGUUUAUACCCUUGAAGAAGAGGCCAUGGAAAUUCAGAAUAUCCCUGAAGAAGGGAUGGGGUUUGCAGAAGUCCCCAAGGUUGAUAACUAGACCCCCGUAUGAUUGAAGAUAAGCCUUAGACGGCUCCAAUGGAAGAACUGGAAAACUUCAAAGUAGGCUCUUCGACCUCGCCCAAAUGCUUGCAGGUCGGCAAGAGCUUCUCUCCUGCCUUGAAAUAAAAUCUGCAGAACUUUCUGUGAAGUAACUUGGAUGUGUUUGCAUGGAAACAUGAUGACAUGGUUGGGAUAGAUUUGAAGGUUAGUUGCCAUCAUUUAAAGAUCAACCCCAACGAAAGUCCCAUCGGCAGAAGAAAAGAGCCUUAAAUCCAGAAAGAUAUGAAGCCUUGAAAGACGAUGUGCAAAAGUUGAUUGCCAACCAAUUCAUUAGGGAGUCAAUUUAUUCGAAGCGGGUAUCCACCCCGGUGCUAAUCACGAAGCACAACGGGAAGUAAAGAGUGUGUGUAGAUCUCACUAAUCUGAAUCGGGCUUGUCCAAAGGACAACUUCCCACUCCCAAGAAUAGAUCCGUUGGUUGAUUCCACCAUUGGCCAUGAACUAUUGAGUUUCAUGGACGCCUACUCCAACUAUAAUCAAAUCCCUAUGAACCCUGUCGACGAAAAGCACACGUCCUUCAUUAUAGACCAAGGCCUGUACUGCUACAAGGUGGUGUUCUUCAGGCUGAAAACGCUGGAGCCACCUACCAAAGGCUUGUAAAUAAAAUGUGUGCUGACCUCCUAGGAAAAACAAUGGAGGUUUAUGUGGAUGAUAUGUUUGCGAAAAGCCUAAAAGCCGAUGACCACAUCCAACAUUUGGAGAAAAUCUUCUAGAUUCUCCGCAGGUAUAGAAUGAGAUUGAACCCCCCUCAAUCGCAUCUUUAGAGUAGCCUCAAGGAAGUUUUUAGGCUAUAUAGUGAAUCAAAGAGGCAUUGAGGCCAAUCCGGACAAGAUUAAGGCCUUGAUAGAAAUGAGGUUGCCUUAGAAACCAAAAAAUGUCCUGAGCCUCACAAGACGAGUUGCUGCUCUAAGCCACUUCGUAUCCAAAGCGACAGAUAAGUACAUCCAAUUUUUCAAAAUCCUCAAGGGAAAACCAGUUCCAAUGGACCCAGGAAUGUGAAGAGGCUCUGUAGAAGCUGAAAAAGCACCUCGACCAGACACCUCUCCUGUCGAAACCUAUAAAUGGAAAGUCAUUGCUGCUGUUCUAGCUGUAACUACGAAAGCAGUCAAUUUGGUGUUAUUAAGAAAAGAAAGGGAUCGACAGCUAUGUCUAUUACAUAAGCAAGGCGUUUCUAGUAGCUGAGACACAUUAUCCGAAUAUGGAAAAACUUGCUUUAGCACUAAUCACCGCUUCUUGAAAUCUGAGGCCCUACUUUUAAGGGCACACUGUCAAAGUGCUAACCAACUUCUCUCUCAAACAGCUGCUUCAAAAAAUGGAUGCUUCCGGAAGGCUGUUAAAGUGGGCUAUCGGGUUAAGUGAAUUUGACAUAAUCUUCAAGCCAAGGACAACAAUCAAGGGUCAGGCAUUGGCAAAUUUUGUGGUCGAAUUUACCCCUCUUCUCGAAAUGGAAUUAGAAAUGGAGCCAGUCGACCCCCUGCUUGAAUUUGUUCGUUGAUAGCUCCUCCGUAGAAAUUGGGUCUGGAGUAGGCAUUGUCCCAAUCAGUCCAGAAGGAUAAAAGCUCAAUUGUGUCGUAAGGUUUGGAUUCAAAGCGACCCACAACUUCGUCCAAUAUGAAGUUUUCCUUGCUAACCUUAGCUAGGGAAAUGCAAGUCAAGAGGCUCCACAACAAUUGUGAUUCCCAACUGGUAGUUACUCAAGUUAAUGGCAACUUCACCACCAAUGACAAGAGCAUGGCUGCAUAUCUCAAACACGUCAUCGAGUUCAUCCCCACUUUUGAAAAAUUUGAGUUAGUACAAAUCCCCUGAAGUGAAAACUCCCAUGCCAACGCUCUUUCAAAGUUGGCUAGCAGUAAUGACUCCGAACUACUCUCUGUUGUCCUAAUUGAACACUUGUCGAAGCCUUCAAUUUCAAAGGAACAAAAUGUGAUGUAAGUAGAAGAUACCCCUACAUAGAUGGCCCUAGUUAUGGCCUUUUUACAAGAUUAGCUCCUGCCCUGUGACAAAGAGGAGGCCUGAAGACUGAGAAGGCAGGUUGCACACUUUAUUCUUCAAGAUGGCGUACUUUACAAAUGAAGUUUCUCCUUACCCCUACUUCGUGUAUAGGUGGAGAACAAGCCACUUAUGUUCUGAGAGAAAUACAUGAAGGAGUGUACAACAAUUACUCUGUAGGAGGGCUUUGGUCCAAAAAGUUUUGAGACAAGGAUACCAGUGGCCGACCUUGAAAAAGGACGCCCAACAAUUUGCAAAGAGGUGUGAUAAAUGCCAACGUUUCACAACUGUCAAACAAUUUGCAAAGAAGUGUGAACCACAUGAUAUCAUUCAGAUAUGCAACUAUUGAAGAAAUUGAAACUCAAAAGUCUUUGAUUGAGGAGGAUGCUGUAAGUUUAAGAGCUUUAUUUGCACUAGAUUGCUUACUAAAGCAUUUACAUUUUCCUCAUGGGAGCUUUUACAAUAAGCCAACUAAUUCCUUUGAUUUUAGUUUUUAUAGAAAGGAAGGAUGGUGAAAUGGAGAAGAAAAGAUACCUCCUUGUCCACCUGUUGACCUUUGGGUUCUUACUGUUCUGAUCGGCGUAUAUGACCUGAAAAUGAAGGGUGGGGCAUUGUCGCCCGUUUUACCUCGAGCGUGAGAAUUAGUGUAUACGUUAGGAGAAAUUUAGAUGGAAUUUAGAUGGCUAGAAAAUGUCAGUCCCCAUACCUGUGUCGCCUUUGGGGGUAUUUAUAGGUGCUGGAAGUCAGGUGAGUGACGAGCGAUCAUGGUGCCAAGUGUUCAACGUUGGCUUUCCCACUAUAUCAUGUUUUGGGUGGGGGGGUCUCUAACUUCCCGCCUGGAGGUUAUGCCCAUAAUAACCGCCCGUAAUAAUUGCCAUGGAGCUUUGUCAAUUUACCUGAGAUUUUUUGAAUAAGUGUUGGGGUGGCCACAUAGGUAACUCCCGGGGUCGAUGAUCUUGCGUAGAGUAACAGCGCCCCCGGGGGUCGAUGGCCUUGCAUUGACGUAUAGUGACCCGCCUCAUUCAUCAUUGGGAGUGGUUCUCUAGGCUAGCUUAUAUCAUUAGGCCCUUGUCCUUUGUUGAUAUUUUUCGGCAAGGGGUAGCAAUUUUCCUUUUCUGGUUCUAUUUUUUUAUACGUAUCAUUCGCCUAAGUAAGUCGAGCAGGACAAUUUAAAGUUGGUCACCUAUUUCACUGUACACUUGGCACCCACCCAAUGGGUCCUAACUUAGAGGGAAUUUUCCCCCCAAAAAAAUCGAAUUUUCUUACUUAUAAAAAGGGGGUGGUCCCUCACAUGUGAAUCAUUUUCACCUCCUCCCAAUAUCUUAGUCUUCUCUCUCUUCCAAGGUAACUUUCUCCUUUUUCUUCUUCAUUUUUUUGUAAAAUCAUGGACCAAACUAUCAUUUCUUCCUCUUUCAACGAAAGUAGUGAUCAUGGACCGGUCGACGCUUGAACAAGUUCGGCCGACAAUCGACGAGGCUAGUCGACUGACCAGUCCAAUGGUCAAUCAACCAACUCGUGCUAGUCGAGCGACUAGUCAAGGGCCAGUCAAUCAACCAAACCCCUGCUGUCCAGCCGCACACCGACCAACCCAAGUCUUUUGGCCUCCCUUUUUCAUCCAGUGGGUUUCCUUAUGACUCUAAUAAUCGAACCCUUUCAGUUGAUUCUUAGGUGUUUAUCUCAAACUCCCCUAAGAGACAUAUUGGCUCCACCAAGUCUCCAAACCAAAACUUAGAAAUUGUGCAGGAUCCGGCUGGCAAGAUUGUCCCUCUUGAAAUUUCAAAAAGUUAUAGUCUCUACAAUUCCCAACUUAAGUUGAAAAAAAUGUCUCGGUACGUAUGAUAGGGUCGACAAUUAUGUCUAUAGAGCCCCAGGUCCCAAAGAAAGACUUCCCGAAUUCGAUCCGCGCGAGGUAGCCGUGUAUAAGGACAUUAUGGAUGAGGGUUUUCGAUUUCCCAUUCACCCCUUCUUGGUGUUGAUUUUCAAUGAAUUUCACCUUAUCCCUAGUCAAAUUUACCCUAAUGGAUGGAGAAAGGCAUUGUAUUUCUUGUAUGUUUGCCUUAAGAGGAGAAUUCCAUUUUCCAUAGACCUCUUUGGCUGCGUCAUCUUCGAGAUGCACGAACUAGCUCAGUGCAAUGCAUUUGUGGGUGAAAAUCAACACCAAGUUUAAGAAUUCAAAUAGUGGGUGAAAAUCCCAGUUCUUCUUUGCUCAGCUUCCAGAAGGUGGGCUCCCUUUCAAUACCAACUGGCGGUAUCCCCAAAUUCGCCUUUUCAAUAGUCAAGUAGAAAUUAUUUCUCUUCUAAAAACUCAAAUCCAGGAGUUGGUCGAUGUACCCCCUCUCACACCUGACUUAGGAUCGAUUUUAACCAUGAGGAACAUGUUAAUAGUGGGGAUGAAUUAUCCUAUUGGUAGGUGGUUUUAGUUGGUUUUUGCAAUUUUUUACUUACACAUAUUUUUUGUUUGUUGGUUUUCUGUGCUAAUGAGUUUGACCGCAUGUAUGUAGAUAUGGAUUUUGACCUUGAUAAGGUAUUGAAGACCUUGUCGGGUGGCAACGAGGACUUUGCUCCCAUUGAUGGCAAGCUCUUAAGGUUCCCUUUUUUGCUUCAUACUCCCAUGUUUUUUUUUGUGCAAACGUAAUGGACCUUACUUUACAUACGCAGGGAUGGAGUUUGAUUUGGAGGGGACUAUGGAUUCUAUACCCGAACAGGGCCAUUGGAGUGAUGUUGAUCCAUCACUCAUUCCUUUAAAAAGAAAGAAGACAGCCGUCCAGGGAGGAAGGUCUCAAGUGGCUAAAGAGACUUGCCCAACCUUCAGAUGAGCCUAUCGAGGUUGUCCCUACUCCUAGGCCAGGUGUUUCUAGCUGUACGCAGUGCAAGCGCGAGGAUUCACUUCCGAAUUUUGGGUCUUCUCCUACCCAUGGCUAUCAUGAGAUGGGGGUACUUAAAUCUUUGGUGACACCCGCUCGGGUCUGGGCAAUUGUAGGAUGUAGCACAGACGACAUUGAGAGAGCUGCGGCGGUCUAUCUCUAGAGGGUAUGUUUCUAAUUAUUUAUCUCUUUUACGCUGAGUCUUAUCUUUUGAGCAUGAUUUUAACACUCGACUUUCACAUUGUCUCCUCAUCCCUUAGGUGGUGGCCCUUCAGAUCGGGCUUGCUGAAUUAAGUCGUCACCAGGCCUUAGAGUUGAAGACUCUUGCAGAAGAAAAGAAGAAAGAUGCCCAUCAUUACGAGAAAAAAGAUAUCUUCUUUGAAGAAAUAUCUAGAGGCAUUGGAGGCUCGAGCCCGCGAGCAAGAGAGAGAGAAUGACAAUUUACAGUCUGUGUUAGCUCGCACUCCAGAGGAGAUGAUCGAGAGGUACAAGGCCUCUGCUGAGUAUGUUAAGGACUUAGAGGCAUCCGUGGAGCAGUAUAAGUCAUUUUCUGAUCAUGCCAGGGACUUGCAUUCAUAUGGGGGAAGGCGAUGGCGGCAUCCAUCAAACUAAUCAAGGAGUGGAUAUUGGCCGAGCAUCUUUCUAUUGACCCCUCAGGUUUUGAUAAGUUCCUUGCGCAGCGCAAAGGAAAAGAGAGUGGGAUGUAGCCAUCCAUGUCACUUGGGCAGUCGUCAUGGUGUGGCAAUGGGAAUGCUUUCCCCUCGAGUUGAAGCAUGUCUUAGUAGUAGUACUCUUUGUUAGUUAUCCUCUUUUUGUGUUGCCUUUUAUUUUUAUUUGUAACAUCAUUUCCUACUUGUCCGAAGUGUGGGCAAGAGCACAUCAUAUGUCUCUUUAUAUGAAUGCUUCGUUAUUCGCUAUUAUUAAUGUUGAAUGCGUCGUUCUUUUAACUUGUUUUUUCUCACAUUGUUUUCCUCGCUUAGUAGUUUGAUAGCAAGGGGUGGCGCUCAUUAUGCGGGCGCAAGGCUUGAGCCUAAUGGUCAAUGGCCUCAGCCAUUUUUUUGCUUUUCAAGGCUCUUCUCCUAGCCGCGCAGGCUAUGUCGAAUGUCAGGAGAGGGGUCUAGCGGGUAAGGGCCUUAGCUAAUUUGUAGCUUUUCAAGGCUCUCCACUUAGCCGUGCUACGUCGAUCGUCGAGAGAUGGGUCUAGCGGUUAAGGGUCUUAGCCAUUUUUGGCUUUUCAAGGCUCUUCGCCUAGCCGCGUAGACUAUGUCGACCGCAUGUCUUCACGGGAUGAGCAUAGGGAUUCUAAAAUGCAUGUUAGUACAUAAAAAUACUUGCAUUUGUGAGCUCAGUAGGCAUACCAAGAUGUCCUAGUUAGGCUGGCCCUUCGUUAGUGCCCUCAUCAUCCGCCACUACCAAGGUCUUUCAUUGAAUAAGAUAAGUAUCUUAUUCAAUGAAAGACCUUGGUAGUGGCGAUGAUGAGGGCGCUAAGGGUGCCUUCGUGAGGUGUUACAUGAAGAGAAUUAAUAAUACAACCUAUUAUACUGUAUUUACAAAAGCAUAGCCUAUGCCUUUACCUCGAAAUCUACUGGUAGUAUGUUUUGAGAUGCUUUGCUUUCCAUGGUCAAACAAAUAGCUUUCCUUUCAUGUCUUUAAGGCUGUAAGCUCCCUUUCCCAGGCUACGAAUUACUUCAAAUGGGCCUUCUCAAUUUGGUUCAAGUUUUGUUGGGGGAAGUCCUAUUGUUGUUGCAUCUCUUAACACGAGGUCCCUCGGGUGGAAGAUUCUUGGUUUCACCCUCCGAUUAAAGUACUCAGUGACUCUUCGUUUAUAGGCCAUCAUGUUUAUUGCCACCUUCUUCCUUACCUCCUCAAGGAGAUCGAGUUCCUCUCUAGUCACCGUGUCAUCGGGCUGCUUGACCUUCAUCCUACCUAUCUCACUUAGGAUCUCAACUAGAACCACUACUUCCAUUCUAAAGAUUAGUCUAAAUGGUGUCUUCCCGGUCGGCUCUCAUGGGGUUGUGUGAUAUGCCCAAAGCACAUUGCGCAGCUCAUCUACCCGAAGCCCUUUUUCCUUUUCCAGUCUAGUCUUUAGAUCCUAGAGAAUAACUCAAUUUGUUACUUAGGCUUGUCCAUUUGAUUGAGGAUGGGCGACCGAGGUCAAUCUAUGAUCAAUGUGAUAACUUGCACAAAGGCCUUGAAGCUAUGAUUGUAAAAUUGUCUACCGUUAUUUGUCACCACCACCCUGGGUAUUUCGAAUCAGCAUAUCAUAUUUUUCCAUACAAAGCCUUGUAUUUUUGUUGUCGUAAUGGUCGCUGAUGGCUUCGCUUCCACCCACUUAGUGAAAUAGUCGAUGGCAACAAGCAAAAAAUUUCUUUGUUAUUUGGCCAUGGGCAAAGGCCCUAAAAUGACCAUUUUCCACUGAAAAAUGGGCAUACCCCAAAGAUGGCUACAUGUUGUUUGGCUGGGACAUGGAUCAAAUUUUCGUGAUGUUGGAAUGUGUUACAUUUCUAUACUAACUCUUUGGCGUCAUCUUUCAUAGUAGCCAAUAGUAACCUUGUCGUAGAACUUUGAAGGCAAGGGAUGUUGCCCCUUGGUGGUUACCGUAGGUCCCAGUAUGUAUCUCAAACAAUACCUCUUUGGUUUCGGCGGGUCGUAUGCACUUCAGAUAAGGCAUGGUAAAACCCCGCUUGUAGAGCUGCCCAUCAAUGAUGGUAAAUGAAGCUGCUCGAGCUCUCAAUCUCCUUGCCUCCAUAGGGUCUUUCGAUACCUUAUCUUCUGCUAGGUACUUGAUUAUCGGAUCCAUCCAACUUUCCUCGUGUUCAAUAUUUUUCAUCUUGGCCCAACGCUGAAUGUUGGGUUGUUGUAGAAAUUUCACACUCGCUGUCUGAGGUAAGUUUUUCAGGUUGGCAGAUGCGAGCUUUGCCAGCGCGUCUGCGCACUCAUUAUCUUUUCGUGAGACCUCGUCACCUUAAAGCUUGUGAACCCUCUUUGCAGAUCCCUUACUUUAAUUAGGUAUGCUGCCAUCCUUUCUUCAUUCGAUUUGUACUCCCCCGAUACUUGCCCAACUAUUAGUUGCGAGUUACUGCAUACCUCCACUGAAGUCACUCCCAGCCUUGCUGCUAAACCCAAGCCUGUGAUUACUUCCUCAAACUCAGCGUUGUUAUUGGUAGCAGGGAACUCAAAGCGCAUUGAGUAUUCCAAUUCUUGGGAGUCUGGUCCGAUCAUUAUGAUCCCUGUUCCUAAUCCCUCUACAUUUGAGGAACCAUCUACAAAGAUCUUCCAGUCUGCCUUCUGCCCUUCUGGGGGCUCUGUCGGGAUGGUGAGCUCGACAAUGAAGUCUGCCAGAGCCUGCUCUUUGAUGGUCGUCCUGGGUCUAAAUUCAAUGUCAAACUCACUUAUUUCAAUCGCCCAUUUCUGUAGCCUCCUGGAGGUUUUCGGUAGAUGCUGGAUCUGCUUGAUGGGUUGGUCAGUCAUUACUUGCACCGUAUGGGAGUGAAAGUAAGGUCUAAGCUUCCUGGUUGCAACAAUCAAUGUGAGCAAAAGUUACUCGGCCAGACUGUAUCUUAUCUCUACACCUUUUGUGAUUUUGGGAACUCUUUCACAAGAAUCGUGCUGACUGUCCGUGGUGACACUGUGAGGUAGAGAUACAGUAUGUCAUCCGGGUAUGGGCUGGUCAGAAUAGGAGGCUGCUAUAGUGACUUCUUUAAGGAUUCCAGCGAUACUUCGCACUCUUGAGUCCAUUCGAAAUUGGUAGAGCCCCCCUAUGGCUUUAAAGAAGUGGUAGCACUUAUCCGUCGCUUGACUCAUAAAGCGAUUAAGGGCCGCCAUGUGCCCUGUUAGCCAGUGAACCUCUUUUUUACUAGUGAAGCUCUUCAUUUCCAGUAUUGCUUGUAUCUUGUCAGGGUUUACCUCAAUUCCUUUUUGGGUGAUCAUGAAGCUUAGGAACUUUCUGUCGACAGUACCAAAGACACUUCUCCGGUUUGAACUUCUAGUUAUUCUAUCAGGCCACAUCAAAUACUUUCUGUAGACAAGUCACAUGGUUGAUAUUGGCCGUGAGCAAAAAUCGAAUCGAAACCGCAUUUUAGAAUCAUUGGUUUGGUGCCACGUGGACCCGAUCAACGAAAUGGUUUUGAAACAAACCAAACCGGUCAAAAUGGUUUGGUUUAGGCUUAAAAAUUUUAAUUGCGAUUUAAAACCAAAUCGGACCGACAAAAAUUAUAUAAAAAUAAAAAAAUGAAUUUUUUUGAAAAUUCAUCCAAAUAUGUAAAAUUCAAUAGUUUUGUCAUUUGUGGAUAUUUUUAUCCCAAUUUAUAUCUAAUAAUCUCAAAAUUAACAUAAUCUAUCAAAAGUCAUUUUACUUUUCAGAAUUCAGAUGAACUCCAGCCGACACCCGACACAAUUUUGAGCCACCGGCACUACCCACACUUCUUCUUCAGAUUUUUUUCGCCUCUUCAAAGUUGAAUUGUAGUUCAUUACACCAAAUCGGAGACAAAGAGAUCCUAGGCCAUCGGUGAUAAUAUUUGCUACGAAUAACGUUUCAAAUCAAUAAUUUUUUUGAGCAAACUGAGGUAAGAAUCUGAAAUUAAAUGCGUUUUGUAACAACAUACAAACAUAAGCUUGUGUAAUUUUUAUGUUUAGAUACUAUAAACAACUACUUUAUUAUUGUAGUUGGUUAUUCUCUUUGUCUAAUCAAUAACCAUUUUUCAGCUAUGAUGAUCAUGAGGUCUUGUUGGAUAUCAUUAUAUUUUUUGGGCCUUAUAUCUCAUUUAGUAGACUUGUAUUGUAACGUUAUCAUAACGUCAUUAACCUAAAAAAGGUGAACAAAAAUGAAAAAACUAUAUUUUAGUUUAUUAUGAUUUCACUUUGAUUUAGUAGUUAUUUAAAUUUAUAGUAGAUAUAUUUAACCCCUGUUCGAGCCAUAUUUUUCAUGUUAUCAUAAUGAGAAAAUUGACUAUUGGAGAGGAAGCUGGGUCCCACGCAUGAAACAACAGGUCAACAAAUGCGGUUGGACUUGUGGGAUAAUGGUCCAAUUUUUCAUUUUUUUGUCCCAAAAAUUUGGUUCAAAUAAGGGCUUAGAUUGUUUUAAAUUUAUUGCUAGUAAGAUAUAAAUAUAUACUGAAUUCAAUGAAUUAAUGUUAUAAAAGUAGACGGACAAAAAAAAUAUACGGUGAAAUCGACGAUUUAAAAUCUGGCCAAACCAUUAGGUUUAGGUGGAAUUUUUUUCAAAUCGUUCAAAAUGGUUUGAUUUAGGUUUGGGUUUUUUUCAAAUCGAUUCAAACGGUUUGGUUUGAAAAUUUGUCAAAAAUCGGUAAAAUCGAACCGCUUACACCCCUAAUUAAUAGCUUUGACACUUUUUACUACCAUGUCAUCAACGUAUGCUUCUAUGACAUUCCCGAUCAAUUCUUGAAAGAGCCUAUUCACCAUUCUUUGGUAGGUUGCUCCUGCAUUUUUGAGGCCGAGAGGCAUGGCCGUGUAACAAUAUUUUCCAUAAUCUGUGAUAAAUGAUGUCUUCUCCUGGUCGAGCUCGCCAUAAAAAUUGACGGUACCCGAAAAUUGAAUCCAGGAAGCUAAGCCUUUCAUGACCUCAUGUGGUGUCGACCAGGUGGUCUAUCCGGGGGUAGGUAUAAGUCCUUUGGGCACGCUUUGUUUAGCCCGGUGUAAUCUACACACAUGCGCCAUUUUCAUUUGACUUCUUCACUAGCACGAUGUUGGCCAGCCACUCAAGGUAAUGCACCUCCCGAAUGAAACCAACUUGUAGUAGCUUUUCCACCUCCGCUUUUGCUACUUCCUACCUUUCGGGGGCGAGGUUCCUUUUCUUCUGCUUCACUGGUUUAGUUCCGGGUAAGAGACCGAGGCGGUGUUGAGCGAUUGCUGGGCUGAUCCCAAUAAUGUAGUUCGGGCUCCAAGUGAAAACAUCUGGGUUAUCUGCAAGGCACCUUACCAACUUUCCCUUUUCAUCAGGUUCCAAACCAGUCUCAAUGCUAAACUCCUGUCCUUUUGAUACGAUGAUCUUUUCAACCAUUUCAAGUGGUUCGAUUUGCCCUUUCGAGUGUUCAACCUCCAACAUCAUGACCGGUGGGGCUCCCUUGACUGAUAUGUUGUCGACAUAACAUUUUCUGGAUGCUUGUCGGUCCUCUUGUACAUACCAGACCCCUCUACUGGUUGGGAAUUUCAUGACCUGGUGAUAGGUUGAGGUGAUGGCCCCGGCUGCGUUCAACAAUGGUCGACCAUAGAUCGCAUUACAGGCCAUAGGAGUUUUAACAACUAAGAAGCUUUCCACAAUUACCAUAGUGGUUAGACAUGUGCCGAGCAUGACAGGGAGCUCCACGGUCCCUUCCGGAAUUGCCAUAGCCCCUCCAAAGCCUUGUAGGCGGUGGUUACCGAUUUCAACUUGUCAGGAGAGAUCUUUAAGCCCAAAAAAGCAUCCUGUGUAAGUACAUUUGCUAUUCUCCCUCCAUCAACUAGCACCCUCUUGACAUCGAAAUCAGCUAGGUCCCCUAUUAUUACCAGUGCAUCAUCAUGGAGGCGUGCUACGCCCACCAAAUCAUCCUCGCUAAAAGUGAUGUUCUAACUAAACCUCUCUUUUUUGGAUGGAACAGAUCCCAGAGAAUGUGCGUAGCUUUUCCUUGUCAAGUUUGAAUCUCCACCUCCUGCUAUCCCCCUGCAGUCAUGUUUAUUACUCCAGCUCUACAUUGGGGGUGGUCCUCUAUUUUUUGUUUCCCCCGGUUGUCCUUCACAUAUUUGCUCAAGAGCCCCCUGUCUUAGGAGGCGCUUGAUCUUCUCCUUCAGCUAUAGGCAUUCUUCGGUACCGUGCCCAUGAUCCUUGUGGAAAUGGCAAUAUCUACCCUGAUUUCUCUUGCCGACUGGUGUUACCAUGGGUCUCGGCCAUUCAAGCUCCUUCCUGUCUCAUAUUUCCAUCAACAGCUUAGCACGCGGAGUGUUUAAAGGGGUGAACGCCCUGGACUCCUCUCGUUUCUUCCUGGCUUGUCGGUCUUGGGCUGUUCCCUUACCCAUUUGCUUACCCUUUGGUCUAUUUUUGUUGAUAGACCUUAGAUCUUCUCCUGCUUUUCGCUUAUGACUCUCCACUUCUCAUCUCACUCUGAGGUUUUUGUGACCUUCUCCGCUUUCUCGGCAUCAACAAAUUUGUCUCCUUUUUUCAACAGGUCGUGCAUUGAUUCUAGGGGAUUUUUGGAAAGUGACAUCUCAAAGGCCCCGUUUCGAGUUUCGUUCAUCAACGCGAUCACUACUGCCGACAUUUGAAGGUCCUCUAUUCCAAAGGUUGCUCGGCUGAAUCUGGCCAAAUACUCUUGCAGAGACUCAUCCUUUCCUGGACCACCUGCAUCAGCCCGAUGGUCGUCUUCCUCUUUCUUUUGCUACUGAGGAAGUAGGCCACAGAGCUCCUGAAAAGUUCAUCAAAUGUUCGGAUAGAUUGGGGGGCAAGUGUUGUCACCCAGUCUCUGGCUUCUCUCCUGAGGGUCGGGAGGAAAGAUCGACACAUCACUGCAUCAAGUGUUGUAUAGAGCCUCAUUAAAUCAACAAAGGUCUGGAGAUGGUCAAGUGGAUCUGUGACCCCGUCGUAAGCUUCUAUCAUGUGGUUCAAAUAACUAAUUGGGACUACUAGUAGAGAAAGGAUGACCCCCGCUAUGUCGGGCGACCCCCACUAUGUCGGGUAGCGCCUAUCAUGAUAUGACGACUACCAUAGUGUCAGCUCGAUCGAUGCUACCUUCUCUUGUUCGUAAGGUACAGACAGCAUUAGCAUGUCGGGUGACGCUUAUCAUACUAGAGCGCUAAUUGCUAUGCUAGUCCGACACUUGCCAUGCGCGGAGCGACCGUCGUCUACCCGAAUACCAUUGGAAUUGGUCAACAACCAUCCGAACGGUUAUUAUUGAACCCACUACCCGAGUAACCGAAUAAAUGGAAAAAAUUGUCUGAAGAGCGGGCAAGUCUCAUGAGAACACGUGGAUGACAACUACCCAAUUACGUGAUACUAGACUGAUGGGGACACGUAGAUGGCAAUUGCCCAGCAGUUACGUGAUGCCAGACGCCUAUAAAUAUCUCAUGGGCGUGUCAGGUAAGGGGGUUCUUUCUUUUUCCAGGAAAAAUUCUUUCCUUUGUCACUCCUGCAUUUCUUUAAAAUCCUUUAUCUAAAAACGAUUACUGACUCUCACGCAAGAGGUAAAAUGGGGGAGGGAGCCCCAACCUCUUUUUACAGGAUCACCAGAGGAAAAGAGACCACUCUUUCACUGAAAAAAAACACAGAGUUACACCAAAACUAUUUCACUGAAUAUACUACUCUGAUAAUUUAUCACCGGAAAAUGGAAAACGAAGCAAUGUCCAUGGAGUUAACACUUAAACAGUACUGCUUCAUUAAGCUAGCCAUAAUUACAUGAAAGUUUCGAAACUCAACUUGCCUCUUCUUCCAUGGUUUUCUAACAAAGGGCUUGGCAGAAAUCCUUCUGGCAUGACCUGAAGUUAAUGUAAUUUAAAGCUGUAUUCCACGAAAGUACUUUCACAGAUUUCAAUUAUGACCUCCAUUAAAAAUAAAGGCAAAGGGAAAGGGUUUUGACAAGCAUAAGAGCUACUCUUGAACGGAUGAAGAAGAAAGGGAAAGGAUUUGGCCUGUUAAAGAAGAUUGUACUGUAACAUUUUGAGAUGAAUAAUGCUAUCUAGAGAGUUGACUAUCACAAUCAUCAUAUCGAACAUAAAUAUACAUACAUGUAUAUAUUCAUAAAUAUAUAUAUAUAUAUAUAUAUAGAAGUGACAUAAAUAAUUAGGUUAUAAAGAAUACUCCUACCGAAUAUGAAUUUAUAUAUAAAACUUUUAUUAUUAUUAUUAUUAUUAUUAUUAUUAUUAUUAUUAUUAUUAUUAUUAUUAUUAUUAUUUAACAUGGGAACUACAUCAUAAUUUCAGCAACUAGAAAAUAUAAAAUACUAGUGCAUGGACUAUUAUGAAAUUUUACAAAUUGAAAAAGCUAGUAACUAAUUAAUUUGAUGAUCAUUGUGGUUAAACAUAAAACUUUCUAUUUUAAGGAAAGCAUUUCAAAAAAAUGUUUACAAAUAUAUAUAACAACACCUUUAUAUACACACACACACAUGAAAUAUAUAUAUAUAUAUAUAUAUAUAUAAUUUACAUAUAUGUAUAUAUAUAGCGGUUAGUAAUUUGAUGUAUUAUGUAAUAGAAAAUUAUUAUAUUAAUAUAUCAGAUCACUAACAGUUACAUGUACAUCACGUACAAUAACUAAGAUAGUGAGGGACUAUAAAUAACAUUACUCUUUUGAGAUGGGAGAUAUUUAAGCAAUAUUUGGUCACCAUUCUUUUAAAACUCAUUUUUUAUACACUUAUUUUCAAUCAUACAUUCACACAAUAAAAUAUCAUACAAGUAAAUCAAAAAAAAAAAAAUCUUAUUUUUUAACCACAUAUUCUCCAAAAAUUCAAUAUUGAAAACGUUAUUUUUUUCAAAUGAUUUUCAUCAAACAGAAGCUUACAGAACUAGAUGAAACCAUGUUUAGUGGCUUUUAUUUGUAAAUAAUAUUGUUUUGAAUAGUAUUUUUUGGAGAAUGUAAUAAUUAAAAAGUAGAAAAAAAUUUGAAUUUGUGUGUAAAGUAUUUUAUUACGUGAAUAUGUUGUUAAAAAUAAUGUAAGAUAAAUUAAAGGGAAGCAAACAAGAGUGAAGUGUGAAACCUCGUUUUAUGAAUGAACAAUGGAUGAUGAAUCUCUCUUCUAAGAGUCUUUUUGAGCUUUAUUUUUUGUCCAAAAUAUAUUUUGGAAUAGUAUGUUAGUGCAAAAUAUGUGGUUAAAAAAUAAGAAAAAGUUUUGAGGUUGUAUAUAAUAUUAUUUUAUUGAAAAAUGUGUGUUGAAAAUAAGAGAGAAAAAUACAUUUUGAAAAUAAUGGAGAUCAAAGUAAAGAGACUAGGAUGAUCUUGCUGGGCGCAAAGGCUAUUAGUUUGGGGCUUAGUUAUAUUAAUUUAAUAAUUUAAAAUUUGCCAGAUUUUCAUAAUCAUUAUUCUACAAUAAAAAAAAUAAAAAAAAUUAUUAGAGGUCAAUAAAGUCCAGUUUGAUGGUCAUUAUUUGACAAAAAUAAAGUUUUGGAUAUUGAAUUUUUGGAGAAUAUAUGGUUAAAAAAUAAGAAAUUUUUUUGAUUUACGUACAAAACAUUUUAUUGUAUGAAUGUGCUGUUGAAAAUGAGUAUGUAGAAAAAAAAUUUGAAUAAUGGUUGUCAAUGGCCCUCAUUUUGUAAAAAUGAAAAUGGUUGGAAUAGAUUUUUUUUUUUUUGAAAAAUGAAUAAUUGAAAGAGAAUAAAGAGUUUUCAAUUUACGUGUAAUAUUAUUUUAUGGAAGAUCGUGUGAUUGGAAAUAGGAGAGAGAAAAUAAAAUGUACUAGAAUGAAAAUUAACGGGGGCUAAAUGGGUUAAAGGCGAUAUUAAUUUAAAUAAAUAGAAAGAACAUAGGAGAAACAAAUUUCAACUCCUAAUAAUUUAAAAAAAAAUCAUGUAAUUAAGAGAAUUGUGAUUUGAAAAUGUUUGUUUUAUAUUGAGAAGACUUAUGGUGACUUUCUUUAGCGUGGUCAUUCCACUUUCUUAUUGUUCAAUCAAAUAAAUAAUUAAUAAUCGAUUGGUUUGAAGUAAAGUCUUAUUGAAGAUAAAUUUUCCAAUAGGAUCGAUUAAGAAGAGUUUUAUGCAUAUUCACAUAGCUGGCUAACGGCAUCCAUGUAACUUCUAUUUUCGUCUAACAUCUAUCAAGUAUUGAGAAUUAUUAACCUUAAUUCUAUGUAACUGAAAGCUAUCAAUUGAAAGAGAGAAAUAUAAAACUUAAGAACAUGUGAGAUUUAUAAAGGUUUGCUUCAAUGUGAAACUACAUCCUCACCUGUCGUUGAAGCAAUUGACUAUGAUGGGAAAAAAAGUUGUACAAGAGAAAAUCACACUCUUAUCUUUUCUUACACCUCUUUGCCCCUUUUUGAUGAUAAUAGAAAAGCAGAAGUACGAUUUCCUAUUUAUAAAAUAAAUUAUGUAAAAAUCGAAUCAUACAAGAACUCCGAUUUCUUAAUAGACUUUUACCCGCAUACAAAUUCCUAAAUAGUCCUCAGAUAAUUAGGGUUGAUAAUAAUUAGGAUUGGCCAACUCCAAAUGGUAAGAAUUAAGAUAGAGAAUAAUUAAAUACCACAACUUAAUAUCAAAGUGUCAUUAGACACAAAUAAAACAUGCAUCGUUAAAGUGCGAUAAUUCGCUUGCUAAUGACACGUACGAAAUUUACUCAGCUAUUACUAGAUGCAAAAUGUGCAUCUUAAAGCGAAAUAAUUUUGUUAGUGGACAAAUCCUAUUUGAAAUUAUUCAAUCGUCACUCAAAGCAAACAAAACAUUAAUCUUAAGGCAAGAAAGAGAUUAUUUCAAACACUAAACAUUUCAAGAACAAAUCUUCGAUCAAUCCCUUCCUCUUUUGAAGGCCCUAAUUGCACUAGGAGGAAAUUACACCUUACCCUACCUUUAAAGAUCUGUAUUCUAAAAUCAGAUGGAAAGUUUCACACUUCACAAAUCAGAUAUUUCAUUUUUAAAUAUUAAAUAUUAAAUAUAUAAUUUUCAUUCCAAACCCUAACAAUUUUCCCCUCCUUUCUCUCUCUACAUCUCGUUCUCACCUCGUCUCUCUUCAUCGGAGCUACCAACGUUGCCCAUUGCAGCCAGCUAAGCACUACCAGCCGCUACAGCAGGGCGCUGCGUUGCCAUUCACAGCAAUGCCUCGACAUUGUUCCUUUGAUCUGCGUUGGGUUCAGGCACAUCAAAUGGUGGUGGCACAGGUGUGGAUUUUUUAUGUUACCGUUCACAGCACCACGGGUUUGUUGCGAUUUUUGAUGUGGUGAUUGUGCAGGUGAUGACAGUGUGUGGUGGUGGUGUUGGCGGCGGUGUGAUGUAAAUGGAGAUAGAGGAGGAGGUGGUGGUGGUGGUGUGCUGUAGGUUGUGCAGUAUGCGAUGGUAUUGUGUUGCGGGCAUGGCGGUGGUGUUGCGGGUACUAUGUGCGAUAAUGGUGGUUCUGGUGUCUGUGGUGCUCAUGAUGGUGGUCGUUGUGGCGGUGACUGAUGGUGUUGGUGGUCGCUAUGGUUACUGGUGCUCUACUAUGGUGGUGGCGAUAAUGAUGAUAGUGAUGGUGGUUGUGGGAUGGUAUGAGAGGGGGUUGGAUGCUUGUGACCAAUUGUUUAGUUGAUUAUGACCAAUAAUUGGUUAAUUUGUAAUAAGUGAUCUCAAAGUUUUGACUGUGACUCACAAUUGAUUAAUUUGUGAUUCAAAAAUUAAUUGUGAGUUGUGACCAAUUAAUCUAAAAAUUUGUAGUGAACAUAUGAGUUGUUACCUAUAAAAGUUUUGAUUUUGUGAUCGGUGAAUAAUCUAUAACCGGUAAUUUGAUAAUUUGUGACUAUACAAUAAGUUGUAAACAAGAAGAAUGAUCGUUAAAGAUCUUAAGAAGACAACCCUUCGACGGUUAAGUCAGUAAAAUUUUUCAAGAAUAAUAUGAAUGCUAGAUGGAAAGUAAGAAAAAUAAUUCAGAGUAAAAUAGAUUGAGAUACCUAAACGUUUAACUCUCCACAAAAUUUAUAGGAGUGAGAUGAUUGUCUAGAUGAGAUUGACGACGAUCCUCCAAGAUUUUUUGGUUGGUUGAAGCUAAUCUGAUUGGAUCUAUUUGGUUAAAAUAUCCAGCCCAUUUAUAAAUAACUCCCACUUAAUUUGGUCAAAUCAUGACGUAUUAUAUCUUAAUUGCUUGAUGAUAAAAUAUCGGAGGUUUUGAAUUGAUCUGGGUCUUCGACCAUAACUCGCAUCAAUUGGCAUUGCUGGGUUAGCAUUAAAUGAGUUGAGCCAACGGUGGCAUGUUUGUUAAAUGAGCCAUUCGUGGGCCUCAUUUCAUGACUCAGGACUCUUGGGCUAGUGGAAUAACUUUUACCACUACAAUCUUUCUCCCAUUCCUUAAUAUGAGUUUACUCGAAUCAAAGAGUAGUUCAAGCUUUAGGCUGAUCAAAGACUUAGUUGAGAGAUCACUUUAAUCAUAUGGCGGACCAUCUAACCAUAUAGUUUAGGGUGAUCAAAUGAUUUGUUGUGGUCAUGAGACCGUUCGACCAUUAAAAGUAUCAUUGGAGAAUACCACACGCUUACGAGAUGUAUGAUAUACUUCGGAAGAUUUUCGUACGACUCAUCGAGCCGUGCAACUUUAUAGAACUUACUGCAUGAUUCGAAAGUGUUUUGGUGCUUAGGAGAAUAAUGUACUGUUUCUCGAGCCAUAUGAAUUUUUUAUAUUGUUUUUUAGUUGAAAGCCUUUUGGUUUUUUGUACAGUAUGUCUCGAAAGUUUUUCGAUUUUUUUAAUAUCAUAUGGCUCAAAAAUUUUAAAGUACGAGUUGUGCGAUUAUUUAAUUUUUUAUGUGUUAUUUUUUAAUUUAUUUAUUUUUGCUAUACAUAUUUAGCCCUUGUUUGAUUCUCAUUAAAAUGAGAAUAUUGGACCAAAAUACAUCUUGCUAUGGUGAUGAUGAAUUAAAAAUUAAACAUUUGUCAACAUAUUUUUCGGAUGAACAGGAAAAGCAAAAUGCCUAUUGAGAAGUGAAUGCCAAAAAUACCUAUUUUGAUCAAUUAAGAUUACACAAUUACCCUCGACCCAUUUCAAAAAAUUCUCCCCAUUCAAGGGUAAAAAGGAACAUUGGGCAUAAUGCGCUCUGUGUGUGUGUGUGUGUGUUUGCCAGCACGACUUCGAAGCCAUGCUUUUACAUACUUUUACUUACCACACGGUGAGCUGUGUAGUAAAUACCAAAAAUGUGGCGUGCAUGCACCAUUAUCACCACUAGGCAAUUAAUUAAAGNNNNNNNNNNNNNNNNNNNNNNNNNNNNNNNNNNNNNNNNNNNNNAUAUAUAUAUAUAUAUAUAUAUAUAUAUAUUAUGGAGCAUUAAUUCGAUUGGUAAUUUCAAUCCUAAAGGAAAAUUUGUUGAUCCAUCUAGACUGUGCGGCAUGUCUUACUCAGAGCAUUGAUAGGUAGAUAAAUAUGUCCAUCCAAAAGGUUGAGUGCACACAUUUGGUUGAUGAUUUUGAACUAAUUUAUGAAUUCAUUUAUCCAUCUUAUUUUGCAUGCCAGUUCUACUAUUUAAAUGAUUCAUUCUUCAUUUCUGAGGCAACUCCAAGGAGUUCAAAGAUUUUGAUGAGUUUCUUUCCUCCGUUCUUCAAAGUCUUGCUUUAUUUUCAAAUGUUCUCGAGUGUUCUUGAAAUAUUUUUUCAACUUCUCCGGUGGUUGCAUUGAUUUUGAUUCUAUAUUUCUGGAGUUUGAUCCAUCAUAAAGUGAAAUUGCUAGUGAAUAGUUGGAGUGAUUUUUGUGAUGUUCUGUACGGAAUUCUGGUUGAAUCUUAGCCAACUGGAGGUGCAAGUAAAUCUAAUAAUUCGGAUGCAAACUCCGGGCUAAAAACUAUGUGAGUUAGGAUCGUUUGGACGAGCUAAAACUAGCAGGGUUUGUAAGUGAUUCGGAAAUUUGUUCCUCUUAUGAGAUUGAUCCAAAAAGUGUUUGCAUUAAUAAUGAUCCGACAGAUCGAUGUCGAACAAACUGAUGGAGAAUGACUUGAUAAAAAUUGGGGAUCCAUAUGGUAUUCCAGCAUCCAUUCACCUCCUCUACCGCGGCCGUACAAGGAUUUGAACUUCGGACCCUUUCUUCAAUGCUGAGUAUCCCUAUCACCACAUCAACCUUAUUUGUACAAGAAACAUGAGCUUAAAUUUUCGUAUAGUCAAUUUGAUUUCCCCUUGUUUUAUGUCCCCUAACUUGUGAAAACCAAAAUUUUAGAAACCAUACAAACCGCUGUACAGGGCAGGCUGUUGAGGAUGAAACUUAUGCAAAUGUUUUCUUCCGUUGCUUCAAAUAAUUUUCUUACACUCAUGACCCCUGUUGACCCUAAAAAGUAUUGCCAACAGAUGUCGGUCCCACCGCGCACACGUGGGUGAAUGUCCAACACGCUAAGACACGUAGACAGUCUAAAAUGAGCGGUUCUAAGGGCAUGGGAGUAGCCCAACGACGCGGGAUAGUGACGUUCGGAAUCCGGUGAGUUGUUCGUGAUCCGAUUGUACAAUAAUUACCAACCGGUGUUCGUAAAUAUAUAUGUAAAUAUGUAUAAACUCGAUUUGUGUAUUGCAAGUAAAUGAGCGAGAGUUGAGUAAAGUAUAGUUCUUUGUAUUGAUUCUUGCAUUAGCCUUUUGAUGUUAUACAAGGGAAGUAUUUAUAGUGAUACAUGUGAAAUGGGAGCCCUUGGAUGAGGUGGCAUGUGGCCUCAUCUCUUUAAUUCAAACAUCCCAUCCUAGGCAUAGGGCUUGACUUGCUAGCUUGCUGCGCAUUUAUUGCUUUGUGCAGGGCCUCCAUACUAGUGACAAGACUUGACAUUUAUGCUUAUGACAAACGUUUCAUCAAUCAUUCGAAUAAGAUCUUUAUGCAGACGAUCUCUUGAGAGAAGUGAACAUGGAGGACACUCCUUUGUGGUUCAGAGGCUCUUGCAUCUGCUUCGGGGCUUCGGCCAUUUCACACGAUACUUUCGCUUGAGGGCUUCAGCUAUCUUCAACUAGCUUCAGCAUCAUGGCUUCAGGUCAUGAGCUUCGGCGUGUGGACCUCAGGUACGUUUACAGGCCUCGGUAAAAAGGUAGCCUCAACUAGUAGACUUCGACUUGAAGGGCUUCGGCAUUGCCCACCUCGGCAAUCUAUGCCACCUCGACUGGAAUACCAUGUGGUUCGCCCUGAGUGGGCCAUAAUGGCCCAGGUGAAUUGGCCAAGAAUGACCACACACAACAAUAGUCCCCCAAGUCCAAGUAUGGUCAUUCAUGUAAUGCGUGAACUUUAAUGAAGUAAAAAUUGAAAGAAUUUUUUAACCCCAAAUAAUAGUCCCUGAAGUCCAAGUGUAGAUAUUUAUAUCAGAGUUGGAAUUAGAAAUGUGUUGCCGUGGGUGAAUGAUGAAGAGACUGAAGCUAUGUUGAUAUUGAAGAAGAAGCCGAGGUGGUUGGAAAACUGAACCUGCGAGGCUUGAUGGAUGAAUGUUGAAGAAGAAGCCGAGGUGGUUGGAGACCGAACCUACGAGGCUUGAUGGCUGAAUGUUGAAGAAGAAGCCGAGGUGGUUGGAGACCGAACCUGCGAGGCUAGAUGGCUGAAAGUUGAAGACGAAGCCGAGGUGUUUGGAACCGAACCUACGAGGCUUGAUGGCUGAAUGUAGAAGAUGAAGCCGAGGUGGUUGGAAACCGAACUUGCGAGGCUUGAUGGCUAAAUGUUGAAGACGAAGCCGAGGUUCAAUGGUAAUGAUUGUGCCUUGAUAGCUGUGCCAAUGAUUUGAUGUUUUGUGCUUGUUUUCGAGGAAAAGUGGCUAAAUCGUUACGACUUCCAAGAUGCCUGCUGCCAUCAAAUUAAAAAUACAAUUAUGAUGGCAGCUGGAGCUUCUAGAAGCAGACACGUUGGAUGGGGCGCGUGGCAGGCACGCUUGAAUCUGAGGCGUAGGUUUGAAAAAUCGUUUGAAUUCAACGCCUCGAACUUGAUCUACAACGAAGGGCUCAGAUUGACUGAGGUUCGAUCUGACGGCUAGGGUUCGUCCUGGACCUCUACAAAAGGUGAGAAAAUCCCAUUUUUUAGGACUUUUGAAACUAUGCAAUUAGAUUCUCUCUCAAAUUUCUGAACUUUUUGGCGUCAAGGCAGCCCGUUUUUUGAUUUUUCGGCCUAUCUCUGUUCGUAGUGUUCUUCCCUUAGGUAUCAUUCACAGGAAAACCUUAUUUUUGUUCUUAAUUCUGUGAGAUGGAGUCCACCUUGGGUAGGGAGUUGGUGACGGUGGCAUCGUUAGAUUAUGGGGUCAAUCAGAGGGGGAAUGCCGAGGCUGAUAGUCAUGCCAUGACCAAAGACCCAGUAGACUAUUCUGAGGAGUGGGGGGCAUCUAAGGUGCCCUCAAGUAUGACGUGGAAGAGGUUAGGGGAGAUCAGGGAGAGAUAUAGUGUCCCCCACUCCAUAGAGAUGCUAGUUCUCGAACCAAAUGAGCGAGCCUGCUAUCUGAGGUCCGGAUGCGUGGCUGUCAGUGAAUACCUGUUUAAGGCAGGUAUGCGUCUUCCUCUGCACCCCUUCUUUAGGGCGGUGCUGAGGAAUUUUAUGUUGUCGCCGACCUAGGUUCUGCCAAAUGGGUGGAGCCAGUUGGUCGGCUCAUACUUCCUGCGGAAGGAGGUGUCACUUGGGGAGGACAUGCCUCUCCAUGUCUUCAUGACUCUGCUCCAGCCCCGGAUCAUAGGGAAGGAGUCCAGGGGGUGGUAUUAUAUUACACCUUGGGGGGCUCACGUACCCUUUGUGGUGGGGCUGCCUUCCUCCAUUAAGGGGUGGAAGGAGUCCUGGUUCUGGGUGCGGGGAAAAUGACAGGCAGUGGAGGGGAACAUGGCCCUUUCUUGCACAGUGCCGACCCAGUACUACGAAGCUCGUGAGUCUCCCAGCCCCUGCUUGUACUUCUGAAUUGAACACUUAGAAAAUUUCUAACUGUUGGGGCUUUCAUUGCAGAUUAUAGUACGAGGUUCGAGCUCAGCAGGGAGGAGUUCAAGGUGAUAGAAGACAUCUACAAGAGGCCUCUGAAGCUCCGACAUUUUGACCAUCUAAUUGACAGGAGUCGCUAUUUCCUGGAUUUUGGAUUGAUGGCAUCCAGAGGUACGAGACUCCCACAGUUGUAAAUUUCCUUGUCCUUUUGAUUAGAUACUGAUGUGCUAACCUGACAUUAUUUUGCAGAUAAAUUCAAGAGGAAGGAGUACCCAGCUCCAGAUAUGACCACGAUUCUGAAGGCCACCACCACUGCCAAGGCUAGGGCCUUGAAGCCGGGGUCUAGUGGGGCCAAGGAGGUCCGAGGCAAGGUGGAACAUCUUUCCAAGGACAGUACUUCAAAGGCUCCUGAAGAGGGAGCUUCCCAAAGGCAGGAGAGGCCAAAAGAGUCUCGGGGCAAAGAGAAGGUCCCAGAGGAGGUGAAGAGGAGGAAGCUGGUGCACGUUACCAGCUCGUCUGGGAAAUUUGGGACAUCAGUGUCUCAUGAGGUCAAAUCCAUAGGCGAGCCGAAGCUGCUCGCAUCUGCCUCCAAAGCCAUCAAGAUAGAAAUGGUCAGGGAGGCUGAGGCUGAGGAGGCUAGGGAGGAGGCAGCGAGGAGAGUUGCUGAGGCUGCUGAGGAGGAGGCAGCUAAACAAAAGCCUGCUCAGGAAAAGGGGAAGUCUCCAAGCUUCCUAGCUGGAAGGGAGGAGACCUUGGCCCCAGCCUUGGUGGAAGCUUUUCCAGAGGAGGUUCGAAGCACCACUGAGAACUUUUAUCGGUUCUGGACUGACAGGUGGCAGCUGCAUGCCUCCUCCUGCGAUGCAUCCGACCUGACGAGGGCGUUGGUGAGCCAAAGCGUCAGAACUUUUGGCCUCGCUCUUGAAUGCAGGGAGGCCCUAAGUGAUUUUCAAUCAAGGACCAAAUCUUCAGAGGAGAAGACGGCCUCCCUUGCAGAGGAGGUUAAGGGGGCUAGGGCCGAGGCAGAGGAAGCCAGGGCCCAAAAACUUGAAGAAAUGGCCAAGCUUGAGUCUGUCUUGGCCUAGAUUGAGGCUUUGAAGAAGGAAGUUCAUGAGUCACAGUGCAAGGUGGCCUCCCUAACAAAGAAGGUGGAGGUCUCUAAUGAGCACCAGAAAGUGACUGCUAAGGCCCUGGAGAAGGCCAAUCUCUCUUUGGUGGGUGCCCAGGAAGCUUAUCAUUUCUUGGAAACCCAAAUCAAGUGGUAUGUGGAUGAUGCAUCCCAUGCCAAAGAGGAGGCUCAACGGGCGAGGGAAGAGGCGGUGCAGGAGUACGUCGCCAACUUCCAUAACACAGAGGAGUAUAAGAGCUUCAGUGCUUACUGGAGAAACUUUGCCUAUGCUGAGGUGAUGGAGCGGGUAGAGGAAAUAUAUCCCAAUUUGGAUCUGACUCAACUCAGUUCUGAAUUCGUGGAUGAGGUACCUCAGACCCCUACUGAGGAGGUGUAGGGUAAUGAAGCAGCUGAGGUAGGGGAGACAAAUGCUGAUGCUCAACCUGCCAAAGCCCCAAGUACUGAAGCACCUCCCCCAUCUACCCAAGCUUAGAUUAGUUUUCUUUUCAGUUUUUUGAAUGUAAUGGCCUGAGGCCCAUUUUUGUAAUCCUUAUUGAAGAUCAAUAAAAAUGCCUGUUUCAUUCAUUGUUGUUUCUUUAUCAAGUGUACGCGCCUCGGACUUAAGCAAAAUUACUUUACUUGAGCAAAUGAACUGUUUGAGCCUCGGACUUAAGCAAAUGAACUUCGGACAUAAGCGAAUGAACUUUACUUAAGCAAAUGAACUUUAAACAACUGUUUGAGCCUUGGACUAAAGUGAAUGAACCUCGGACAUAAGCAAAAUAACUUUUUGAGCCUCGGACUUAAGCAAAUGAACUUCGGACAUAAGCGAAUGAACUUUUUGAGCCUCGGACUUAAGCAAAUGAACUUCGGACAUAAGCAAAUGAACUUUACUAAGCAAAUGAACUUUAAACAACUGUUUGAGCCUCGGACUUAAGUGAAUGAACCUCGGACACAUGAGGUAGCUUCUCCCCUUGGCAUUUAGUCCAGCCAAAGGAAGGCACGUGCUAUAGCCUCAGAGUUCAAUCGAGGUGGCCCACAGGUGGGGCGCGAGCCUCUCCUCCGAGGUGAUGACGCAUCCCGACCACGGUGGGUGGUGCAGCCAUGUUUAGGCUUCUCUCCUUGGCGUUUUGUUUAUUUUGGCCAAAGGGAGGCAUGUGUUAGAGCCUCGAAAUUCCAGCGAGGUGGCUUAGAGGUGGGACGCGAGCCUCUCCUCUGAGGUGACGAGGUAGUUCAACACGUUAAUUUAAUCACUAAAUUUUAUAGAACCAUAGAAAUGUUACAAGGGCUGGGAAAGGUCGUCCAGCAAGAUAGUACAUUUAUUGGUAGUAGAUUCUGAGGUGUUCAAUGUUCCAUGGUCGGAGUUGUGCCUUGCCAUUCAUGUCUUCAAUCCAGUAAGUCCCAGGUCGGACUUCUUCUCUGAUUUUGUAUGGACCUUCCCAGUUUGGGCCAAGGGAACCGGAACCAGGUUCUUUUAAGGAAACGAAGACCCUCCUAAGUACAAGGUCGUUGAUUCGGAAUGACCUCUUCUUGACUUUCGAGUUGAAAUACCUUGUCAUCUUUCUCUGAUAUGUGCCGAGCUUCACUUGGGAGUCAUCUCUUCUUUCUUUGAUGAAGUCGAGGUCGAGCCUCCAGAAUUCGUCGUUAGUUAUCUCGCUGAAGUGCAGACGUCUUGGGGAUGGAAGUUCGACUUCCACGGGGCUCAUAGCCUCAGUUUCGAAUGCCAUGAGGAAGGGUGUUUCUCCUGUUAGGGUCCUAGUAGUGGUUCGGAUCGCCCAAAGGACUUGGGGUAGCUUAUCAACCUAGGCCCCUUUUGAUACAUCCAGCUUUCUUUUCAAGAUGUGCUUAAUCGUCUUGUUCACGGCCUCGACUUGGCCGUUUGCUUGUGGGUGGUGAGGUAUGGAGAAGUGCUUCUUUAUGCCGAGCUCUUCGCAUAAUUCUCUAACUUUCUUGUUGUCAAAUUGUCUGCCAUUGUCUGAGACAAUUGAGUGGGGAAUCCCGAAUCGGCAAAUAAUAUUUUUCCAUAAGAACUUGGAGGUGUUGGCUUCAGUGAUUUUUUCCAGUGGUUCGACUUCGACCCACUUCGUGAAGUAAUCAAUAGCCACAAUUGUAAAACUUGCCCCUCCUCUGCCCUUAGGUAGGGGACCUAUGAGGUCCACACUCCAUUUUGAGAAAGGCCAGGGGGUAGAGACGGUGGUCAGCUCCUGCGAUGGUUGUCGCUGCACCAGAGAGAAGCGCUGGCAUUUAUUGCAUUUUCGUACAAACUCAAGGGCGUCCCGCUUUAGAGUGGGCUAGUAGUACCCCUGCCUCAAUAUUUUCUGUGCCAAAGACAGCACUCCGGAGUGGUUAUCGCAUAUGCCCUCUUGGACUUCUCUCAAUAUGUAGGUAGUCUCUUCUCCUCCGACGCACCGUAGGAGUGGAAAGGAGAAGCUUCUCUUAUAGAGAAUGUCAUCAAUGAAAAGGAAGUGGGCUGACCUCCUUCUUAGCUUGUAAGCCUCAUUCUUGUCAGUUGGCAGUGCCUGGUCUUUGAGGUAUGCUACGAUUGGUUGCAUCCAAAUGGGAGUCCCAGUGACCCACAUUACUGUUGGGGCCUCGAUCGAAGGUAGGAGGAGGUGCUCAAUAGGUACUACUGUGAGUAACUCUGAGUCCUUGCUGCUAGCUAGCUUUGAUAGUGCAUCAGCAUGUGCAUUUUCGAUGUGAGGGAUCUGGAUCAACUCAAACUUUUCGAAGGAUGGGAUGAGAUUCAUCACCAUUUUCAGGUAGGAGGCCAUCGUUUUAUCUUUGGCUGAGAAGUUACCAUUGACUUGGCUAACAACCAGUUGGGAGUCACUACUGAUGAGCAGCCUCUUUACUUACAUUUCGGUGGCUAGCCUGAGGCCUGCAAGAAGUGCCUUAUACUCUGCUGCGUUAUUGGUAGCUUUGAAUCCGAACCUCACCGCCGAGGUAAGUUUGUGACCUUCGGGGCUGAUGAGAACAACCCCAGCACCGGAGCCAACUUCCCCAGCUGACCCAUCAACGAAAAGAUUCCACAUGGGGGGUUCGAUAGGUUCCAUGAUUUCGUCCACCUUGGGUAGGUUGGCGAAUUCAGCCACAAAGUCAGUUAAGGCUUGCCCUUUUAUGGCUGCCCUAGCCUUGAAUACAAGGUCAAAUUCACUGAGUUCUACCGCCCAUUUCAAUAACCUUCCUGAGGCGUCAGGCUUUUGGAGUACCUGCCUCAGGGGAAAAUUUGUCAGUACAUAGACGGUGUGAGCUUGGAAGUAGGGUCUCAAUUUCCUAGAGGCCGUGAUCAAAGCCAAAGCAAGCUUCUCCAUAUCGGGGUAACGGGUUUUCGACGAUAGGAGCGAUUUACUUGUGUAGUACACGGGGAGUUGGGUAGACCCUUCUUCCCGUAUCAGAACCGAGUUGAUGGCCUCAUUGGAGAUGGCCAAAUAUAGUUGUAGGAUAUCACCGGGCUUAGGUUUGGAAAGGAGGGGGGCCUGCCCCAAGUGUCUUUUCAAGCAUUGGAAAGCCUCUUCACAUUCCUCAGUCCACUGGAAUUUCUUCCCAGCCUUCAUUACUUUGAAAAAGGGGAGGCAUUUGUCCGUAGCUUUGGACACAAAGCGGCUAAGUGCAGCCACUCGCCCGGUAAGACUUUGCACCUCCUUCGGCUUUUGGGGGGACCUCAUCUUGCACAAAGCUUCAAUCUUCUCGGGAUUGGCCUCAAUUCCCCGUUGGUUGACCAUGUACCCCAAGAACUUGCCGGAGGCUACCCCGAAGGCGCACUUGUGGGGGUUGAGCCUCAUCCUAUAUCUUCUUAGGAUCUGGAAAGUGCUGUUAAGGUGCUUUAUGUGGUCUUCGGCCUCCAAACUUUUUACUAGCAUGUCGUCCACGUAGACCUCCAUUGUUUUGCCAAUGAGGUCUACAAACAUCUGGUUUACGAGUCUUUGGUAGGUUGCUCUGACGUUUUUCAACCCGAAGGGCAUCAUUCUAUAACAAUAGAGGCCUCGGUCCGUAAUGAAAGAGGUGUGCUCUUCAUCGGUCGGGUGCAUGGGGAUUUGGUUGCAGCCGGAGUACGCGUCCAUGAAGCUCAACAACUCGUGCCCAGCAGUGGAAUCCACUAGUUGGUCAAUCCUUGGGAGUGGAAAACUAUCUUUCGGACAAGCUCUAUUGAGGUUGGUGAAGUCAAUGCACACCUUCCAUUUGCCGUUGUUUUUCCUUACCAAAACCGGGUUGGAGACCCAUCUAGGGUAGGUUGCCUCUCGGAUGAAGCCGUUUUGGAUGAGCUUCUGAACUUCUUCCUUUAGGGCCUCAUACCUUUCAGGGUUGAGGGCUCUCCUUUUUUGUCUAUUCGGGGCAACCUUAGGAUCAAUUUUUAGGUGGUGGCAGCUGACCUUGGGCUGUCCUCAUGCUUCCAGGCAAAGACAUCAAGAUUCUUGCUCAGGAAAUCCUUAAUCUUUUCCUUCAGAAUGUUGGCUAGGCAUUUGCCUACCUUCAGUACCUUUGAUGGGUCUCGGGGGUCUACUGAGAAGCUCUCAAGUUCCUCUACUGGAGAUGCCUAAGGCUCGUGUUCCAUGAUGUGGGGGUCAAUUUCAUCGAUGACCAGUGCCUCUGCAUUAGGUGGUGCAUCGAUCAUAUCAACAUCUUCUUGUUCGAUGGGAGCAUCACCUAGGACGUCAGCCAUGACCACGUCAGCUAUGACUACAUGGAUGUCCCGAGGCUCUGCCUUCUUGAUGGGGCUUAGAUAGCAUUCUCUCGAGCCUCUUUGGUCGCCUCUCACCAUUGUCACCCCAUUUUCAGUUGGAAAUUUCAUGCACAGGUGGUGGAUGGAGGUGACUGCUCCCAGUUCCUUCAGGGCUGGUCUGCCAAACAUCCCAUGGUAGGCCGACCUGCUGUCAACAAUGAGGAACUCCAUGAAGUUCGUCGUUGUACGUGGGGAUUCCCCCAUCUCUACUGCUAGUGUUAUCUUUCCUCUUGGAGUGAUGCUAUCUCCAGUAAAUCCGUACAAUGGAGUGAUGGUGGGCGUCAGCUGAUGAUCCAAUAUCAUUUUAUCAAAGGCGGAUCCGAAUAGAAUGUUGACGGAGCUGCCGUUGUCAACCAACAUUCGUUUGAGCCCAUUCUUGGCUAUGAUAGCCCUCACCACAAGUGCAUCGCAGUGGGGGUAAUGAACUCCCUCUUCGUCUUCCUGGGAAAAUACAAUGGGUGGGACCUGAUUUCUUCGGGAGCUGCUACCCACGAUGUAGCUUGUCAAAGGGGGGCGUUUAGCCUCCCGGGCGUAGUUCCUUUUGGCGUUUCGCGUUUCGUCGCCAACAUACGGGCCUCCAAAUAUGGUGUCCACCUCGUGGAUAGGGGCUUCAUCUCUAGCUUGCCGGUUUCUUUGGUGUCUAUGCCCUUCCCUGGGCCUCUCUGGAUCAUGCUCCCUUCGCCGUGGGGAUACAUCCCUUUGACGGGGAGCGGCCUCCUCACACCCACGCUGGUUGUCGUGCCUAGGCGGGGGCCUGUUCACCUGGGACGAAUCAUGUCUGUCUCAAAUGGGUUCCUACCGGGAAUGUUGUGCAUAAUCUCUACAAUCCGCUGUGUUAUGUCUGUAGGACCUGUGGUGUACACAGUGUCAUGGGAGGUUCGGGUUUGACCUAUUUCUAGGUCCAGAGCCUCGACCUCGGCCUCUCCCUCGACGGGGCAUCUCCUGACCCCCCAUCUGAUGGGGGUCAGUUAUUGGAUUGACAUCUUCAUAUGCCAAGGUGGGAACCGCAUUCAAAGUGGUGGUGGCAAGUGCUUGACCAGAGUUCUCAUUUCCAGCCUGGUUCAUCUGGUAGCCCAUCAGGUGGGAGGUCGGGCCUCUACCGCACUAUCUUUGAGGAGGCGGGAGGCCUCUAUUUGCCCUGUUCCUAUGCUCAAUCAAUUCUUCAUUGAUGAUCUCCCUUCUCAUCAUUUCGAGUAGGGCGUCAUAGGUGGUGGGGUCUUGAUUCUGCACAUCUCUCCAGAAUAAGGUAUUCAUGUUCAAACCUCCCCUUAGCGCGGAUAGUGCCUCUCGGUCGCUAACUUGUACGCAAUAUGUCAUCUCGUCGGUAAAGCGUGAUAAGAAGCUCUUUAGGGACUCCCCAUGUACUUGCCUCAUGUCAUGGAGACGUUGGAUGGGGGCUUCUCCUUCUUUGCUUACCGCGAACCUCUUCAAGAAUGUUGUCUUGAACUCAGGCUAGCUUCUAAUGCUCCCAGGUGGCAAUCUGCUGUACCAAAUUUCAGCCGCUCCACUAAGUGUUAAAUGGAAGGCUCUGCACUUCACGGCUGGGGUCGCGCCCUUUAGGCUCAUGUGGGUUUUAUAAGCAUUCAGAUGCUUUUCCGGGUCGCCUCUUCCGUCAUACUUUGGUAAUUUUGGCAUAGCAUAGUGGCUCGGGACCUGGGCAUUCCUUAGUUCCCUUGAGAAUGGUAGGUUCUCAUCGUCGUCGUCCAAUUCGCAGGACCUCUGCUGUUCGUCAGAGUCGUACUCAUCGGUCUCGUGCCCCGGUUGUUGGUGAGAGGUCCCGGGAAGAUCCCUAGCCUCUUCGUCUCUCCUCUGCUGCCUAUUUCUAGGCGGAGCAACUCGAGGGACAUUUUCUUGCCUUCUUUCCGCCUGUUGAGGCAAUGUAGGUAGAGGAGGCGGCCUUGUCCAAGGUUGUUGAGCCUGCUGUUGCCUUUGCCUCGGUUCGACAGGGCUGAUUCUGUCAAAAACACUUCCUGCCCUCCUAUGUCUUGGGUCUUGCUCAUACGGAGGUGGGAAAUUAUCAUGGCUCAUUUGGACCUCGGAGGGUCGGCCAGAAGCAUAGUUGGAGGAAACAUCAACUUCCACUUCUCUUUCAAAGGGGCUCUCACCUCGGCCAUAGUCUGGUGUAGCAGUUCUAUGACUUUGUACUUCAUCCUCUUGCUGGUAGUGCCCUUGGGGGACAUAUGGAGGAAAGGGGAAGCCUCACUGGCCCUGCAUUUGGGCCAUAAGCUCCCUCAUAGCCAAAUUUUGGCUAGCGAUAUCCCUCAUGUUAGCCGCCAUGACGGCCAUUUCUCUUGAUAAUCGUGCCGUCGCAUGCAUCCCACCUCUUCUUUGGUGGUGGUGGAGUCUUUGCCGAGCUGCUGGGACAGCUGGCUGGGGAUGCACAUUCGUGUUUUCUCUUACUCUCCUGGGGGUAUCUUUAUUAGAGCUCAUUUUCCUUUGUCCGAUUUCAGAUUUCUCCAGGUAACGGGGCUUCCUCCUGUUCUCUUCCAAGAACAAAUCAUUUUUCAAGGGGGGUUGCCCAAAUGUCCUUUUAGUAAGCUUUUACCACAGGGUUGCUCGUGGUUAUGGUAUGGUUUCCCACAGACGGCGCCAAUCUAUUGACCCCAAAAAGUAUUGCCAACAGAUGUUGGUCCCACCGCGCACACGUGGGCGAAUGUCCAACACACUAAGACACGUAGACAGUCUAAAAUGAGCAGUUCUAAGGGCGUGGGAGUAGCCCAACGACGCGGGACAGUGACGUUCGGAAUUCGACGAGUUGUUCGUGAUCCGAUUGUACAAUAAUUAUCAACCGGUGUUCGUAAAUAUAUAUGUAAAUAUGUAUAAACUCGAUUUGUUAAUUGCAAGUAAAUGAGAGAGAGUUGAGUAAAGUAUAGUUCUUUGUAUUGAUUCUUGCAUUAGCCUUUUGAUGUUACACAAGGGAAGUAUUUAUAGUAAUACAUGUGAAAUGGGAGCCCUUGGAUGAGGUGGCACGUGGCCUCAUCUCUUUAAUUCAAACAUCACAUCCUAGGCAUGGAGCUUGACUUGCUAGCUUGCUGCGCAUUUAUUGCUUUGUGCAGGGCCUCCAUACUAGUGACAAGACUUGACCUUUAUUCUUAUGACAAACGUUCCAUCAAUCAUUCGAAUAAGAUCUUUAUGCAGACGAUCUCUUGGGAGAAUUGAACAUGGAGGACACUCCUUUGUGAUUCGGAGGCUCCUGCAUCUGCUUCGGGGCUUCGGCCAUUUCACACGAUACUUCCGCUUGAGGGCUUCAGCUAUCUUCAACUAGCUUCAGUAUCAUGGCUUCGGGUCAUGGGCUUCGUUAUGUGGACCUCAGGUACGUUUACAGGCCUCGGUAAAAAGGUAGCCUCGGCUAGUGGACUUCGGCUUGAAGGGCUUCGGCAUUGCCCACCUCGGCAAUCUAUGCCACCUCAGCUGGAAUGCCACGUGGUUCGCCCUGAAUGGACCAUAAUGGCCCAGGUGAAUUGGCCAAGUAUGAGCGCACACAACAACCCCAAUUGGUUACUGGUGUCAAAGAUCCUGGCAAGGACUUGACUGGCUACAAAAUAAGGGUUUGGUGGCUAAAAGACAAAAAAGGUGAGUGCUUUAGAAAGCAGCCAGCCUGCUCUAGAUUUCUAUUGUUUUGCUGUUUUAGUUAGUGAUUCAUCUUAUUACUUGACAUGCAUCAUUUCUUGUUAUACCACUACCCUUUACUCGUACCAAGUACUCUGGACUCUAAUUAUCAACUGAUAUUUGACGAAGUUUUCCCAAUAAAAAGAUCUUUGUUCAUUAUUUCUCACCUGACUUCUAUUUUGGAGCUGUAGUAAGGGGGUUGUUGCUUAAUAUGACCCCUUCAAGAAAGAGUCACUCGGUAAGAUGACUCUCUAAGCUAGGACUACAAUUUUAAUUGCUGAAUAGACUUUUUACGUUUCUGAAUAUAAUUUGAAUUAUUUAAUCAUUUUGGCCGUUCCCUACCUCCUGUAUGAAGGCAUGUAUAAACCAUGAACCUUAAUAUCCUCUGGCUUCUUUGUCUAUUUAUCAACGUCUGCUGUUGGGUGGUUUAUACUAAUGGCGUUGGAGAAAUGUUGAACCUAAGAAAGGACCAUGGGGGAACCCCUAGAUUAUGGCAUCUCUCCACAUUUUGGUUAGAAGCAAGGUGGCAUGGAACUACUUUCGUUUACAUGUAUAGAUCCCCAAAUUUUGUUACGAACAUGGUAGUACAUAUUUUCGAUACUAGGGAACUAUUUAACUAACCAUUUAUAUGAUUGCAGGGGAAUGCAGUUCACAGUCAGGGCAAGUACAAGAAGGCCAUACAGAAAUAUUCAAAUGUAAGUUUACAUUUUUUUUUCCCUAUUUGUUGUAUUUUUUGAUUUUCCUUUGCUGUGAAGUUUUGUCUUUUGCAUGUCUCGUUUGUUUCUCGAUCAAUAUUAGGCUAAGAAAAACCUGAAAGAUGUUACUAUCUCGAAAUGCAGGAGUCUGAUCUUCACAUGCUCUCUUAAUAUGAUGGCAUCUUACUCGGAAACUAUAAAGUUGGUUAUGCUUAUUAUAUGAUUUACUCAUAACACUUCAACUUUCGAAAAAUCUACAAUUUGUACGAUAAUAAAAACACAAUAAAUAAAAGAGGAAAGAACAAGAAGAAUAAUCCAAGAAAGCAUUAGAAGUCUAGAAAGGAAAGUUGCUUUCUAAUUUGAGCUAAGACAAAGCAAGUUUACGGACAAUGUAAGUUGCUUUCUAAUUUAGUUGAGGUAUGAAGUAAUUCAAGAUGGGAUACAAGUGUUUUGAGCCAAUGGCGAGGAGGAUUUUGAAAAGGGUGUGGCUUGGGUACCAAAUGUCAAUGGGUUUACUUGUGCGUGGGAAUCACACAUCCUCCAGGUUUUGCACAUGCUAAAUAGUUCGUUUUCUUCGUUGCUUAGCUUUAUUCUGAUUUGAUAUAAUCUACUUGUGUUUUGCUUUGAGUGAAUCACUAUGCAAUUAUAGAUCUGGUACUUCGAAUUGCUUAAAAGAUCUGGAUUUCGGCUUAAAAGAGAGAAUUUAUGUGUAAAAAAUGGUUUUGAACUUCUUGAAAUGGCGAAUUAUUCGCGGGGUUAGUUCUUUGUAUAUGCCUUUCUUUUGUUGUAUGUGCAUAUGGGUUUAAUAAAAAAGCCAUUAAUUUGUUUAGAAACUGUUUACUUUUUGUACUUGUAGCCUUAAAAAAUGAUCCGAGGGUAUGUCAUUUUCUCAUUCUACCUUAUGCAAUCCAUUGUGCUAAAUGUUUUAUCAGCUUUACUUUAGGAAAACAUCAAUUGUAAAUUGCUACAUAGUUAGUAAGGGACCUGAAAUAUCGUUUUGCAAUUUACACCAUGACACCUGAUUUUGAUCACUUGAAUAGAUAAAAUUCACCUAAGCAUGUCUCUUUCUUUUCUGUUAUCAGCAGUUAAUGGCCAGCAAGGAAGUUAUAACACAUUUAUUUCAAUAUCUGCAUGAAAAUGGACAAUUCAACAUUUAGGGUCUAUCUUUAAGUAUUCCUUCUGACCAGAUGAGAGUGAUCCAAAACAUAAAUACACUAAUUGCCGAGGUAGCUUCUGUGUCUUGGAAUUACGAAACUUAUUAUUCCUACUUUGUCCAGUUUAUCUUUUUCUUGAUGCAUUAGUUCAUUGCAUUUUAGUAUUUUUCGCAUUUAUCUUUCAAGAACUAAAACUGGCUCUGGAAAAUUUCGUAACUGCAGUUGGCAUUGGAGAAAGAUCAGGUGACUCAAGCAUUGUUGGCAGAAUCAUCUCAAAUCUCUAAGCUUAUGGUAGUUUCAUCUUUAGUGAUCCUUUAUUGUGAAAUUUUCCUUAUUCUCUCUACUUUUUUUUGAGAGUCUUGAUUUUUGGAAGAAUCACCCCAAAGCUCUCUAAGCUUAUGGUAUUUUCAUCUUGAGCGGCCCCUUAUUGUGAACUUUCCUCUUAGUCUCUACUAUGCUGAGAGGAGAAAUUGAUUUUUGAUACAAGUUGUCAUUAGGGAAGCUAAAUAGUUGAUUGGAACAAUUGCAUUGGAGGACUUUCAGUUUCUUGUGUUCCUAUAUACUUCUAUGUGUUUUAGUCUGUAUCCUGAAAGCAUAUUUUUGAGAAAUCAUUAAAUUUGACUUUCACCUUGCUUGCAUCACAUACUACUCUAAAAUGAAGUAGCUUCAUGAAGGGACAAAAAAAAUGUUUUAUUGAAUUUGUGGUUCGUACUUUUGAAUGCGUUGUUGCAUUCGUGGACUGAGCUGUAAUAGUAAAAAUCCAUUGUUGGAUGAGUUUCAAUUAUAUGUCAAUCCUUUUGGAUUACUAAGGGCGUUGGUGAGAUCUUGUGAAUGAGCCUUCACUAUCAUUACAUAUAGUGGUGUCAAAGUGUGUCAGAUUUUCCAAUCCUUUUUUAAUCGUUGUGUUAGUUUUGAGGUGAUUUUUCUUUUAUAAUAGCAGUUAUUGUUAUUGGGUAAAUGGAUGACUUUGACUUUAUAUUCCCGUACUUGAUUUGGUAAUUUAAGAUUUGAUUUUUAUUACUUAAAGGAGGAUUUUUAUUUCAAAUGAUUUAUUCUACAUUCUUAAUAUUUCCCAUUCCUAUCAGAUUAAAAGAAUGAAGUUGAAUAAGUGGGAAUUAAUGUUUUGUUGUUAUGUUUCUCUUCUUAACUUUCUUGAUUCAUGAAUGAUAUGGAGAUCUUGAUGGCAAUAUGGGGUUUUAGAAUCUUGUUUGUGUUUAACAUUCCGCAUAUAUGAAUUAAGGCAUUGUAUUUGUAGCUUCUAUGUGUAUAAAACAAUUUGAAUUUCACUUUUUUGUUUAACUAUGCAAGCAUUUCAAGAGUUUAGUUAUCGUGACAGUAUAUUUGAAUUGCUUGAUUUUUUUGGAGUUUAAUUCUACUUUUUUUUUUCUUUUCUUUUUUUUUUUUUUUUUUUUUUUUUUUUGCGUUUAAUUAUACUUUUUUUCCUUUUUUGAGGAAACUCAUUUUUUUAUAUACAUUUAUCUUGGUUGUGUACAACCAUUUUGAUUAAUGUCCAAUUGAUGUUUAGAAAAUAGUUGAAUUCAUACAUUUGUAGUAUUGUAUUUGUAGCUUCCAUAUGUAUACAAUAUCAAAAUUUAGCUUCUUUUGUUAACUGUGCAAAUAUUUUAAUAGUUUAGUGUUAUAACUACGUCUAUUUUAAUUUCUUCCUAUUCUUUUUUUGUAAAAUCAUUUUUUUUAAUUGUGUUUUGUUAUAAAUAAAUAUGGCACACACUGAUUCACUAAAGCCAAGCAUUUGAUCAUGUGAAUGGUUUAAUUUUUUUACGAAGGGACAAGUAGUAUGAUAUUGAUGAAGUUUUUAUGUUGCUCUUUCGUUGAUUCAUUUUAUCAUUUAGAUGAAUAAUUGUUUAGAUUGUACAUAAUCAAAUACUCAAUUUUUUUCCUUGUGUAAAUCUGAAAAAGGUUGAAACAAAUGGAAAGAAAUGAUCCCAGCAAUAACCAAAAAAAGUUUUCAUUUCUUAAUCUAUGAACAUUCUUCUUAACUUUAAUAAACUAACGUGCAACGCACGUUGGUCACACUAGUAUUGACAAAAAGAUGAUGUUAAUAGUACGACAACAGGCUGUGGAUGAGUUUCAACAGAGCUUAAUUUAUAAGGAGGAUGGAGGAAUAAAAAUGAAAGGUAUGCCUCUAUAUUUAAAAUAAUUAUUAAAUUUCUUCAAUUCAUUUUUGAACUUAAAUAGAGAUUACUUCCACAUCCCUCUUGCAGGACACGGCUAAUUUACUUGCUGCAUAUUAUCGCACCGUUCUUUUCAUAUAUGUUCUUCCUACAUGGGUUCUUUUUUCUUUUGUACUUAUAAAUAUUGUAAUAAUGUGUCGUUUUACACUGUAAUGGCUACUUAAACGACUUGAUAUUCCUUAAUUUUCAUUCAUACUCAAUUUUAAAUGCAAUCUUACCAUUUGUUAAAAAUGAAUUCAAGAUGUCUAUCUGAUGAAAAUUGUCUAAUAAAAAACAAUUUAGUAAAGUAAAAGAUAGUCUUAUCUUCAAAUGCAGGACUUGAAAGUUAUUACAACUGUUCAAACUCAAAGAAAGGAUGCGACUGAGAACUAUUACUUAAAGUAUUUAUAUGAUUUACAUGCAGAAAUAUAAAAUAUAUCUGCGCAUAACAUACAAAUAUAAAAUAGCUUCAUAAGAUUAUUGAUGUUUCUUUGUUGACAUUCAUGUGAAAGACACCUUCAACUGAACCAAAAAGGUUAGUCUUGUGGACGUGCUUUCUAUCGACACUCUAACUCAGUAAUAGUUACUUCAUUGGUAGCGUCAAUGUGAGUGCUCAUCUUCAAACUAGAAUAUGUUCCAUUUUCAACAUAUGCAGGUGGUAAUGGUUGUGGCAACGACAGAACUUCUCCUUCCAACAUCUCUAGCACUGAUUGCAUUGUUGGUCGAUCUCCUGGUCGAUUUUGGACACAUAAAAGUCCAACUUGUAUACAUCUUAGUGCUUCAUCUGCUAGAAACUCAUCCUUCAUUGAUUUAUCUAAAAAUUCUAAGGCUUUUCCUUCAUUCCACAUCUUCCAGACCUGAACAGAUACCAUAUAUAUACAACUCGUUUCUUAGUGUAUAAUUUGGUGACAUCAAGUAUUAGAAGGAUAAUCUUUAAGUUAGUUCCUUUACUUACACGCUCAACAGGGUCAACAGCUCUAGGAAAACCAUAGACUUUUCUUCCAUGCAGAAUCUCUAGGACAACAACUCCAAAACUAAACACAUCCGACUUAACUGAGAAUACACCUUCUAUGGCAUAUUCUGGAGAUAUAUAACCACUGCAUACCAAUAUUGGACAAAUUACACAAAUUGGUGUGCUGCUUUAGACGGAGGUAGAGAUAAAAAGCACGCGUGUUUAUCUUGAUACUUACUAUGUCCCAACAACCCUCAAGGUUUCCAUUUCAGCUUGAUGUUCUUCUAAAGUACUUGCUAGACAGAAACCAGAAAUUUUAGGGUUCAUCUCUUUGUCAAGUAAAAUAUUACUUACUUUGAUAUCCCUGUGAAUAAUUCUCAAUCCUGAAUCUUGAUGAAGAUGAAGAAUUCCACGAGCAAUAUCAAUAGCGAUUUUGAAACGUAUGGUCCAUCCAAGUUUAUGACUUGUUUCACCUGUGUCAUUUCAUGUCAAGUUAGCUCAUAUAUGUUUAUCACUAUUUAAAUGAUGCAGAAGUAAGAAAAUUAUAUUCUAGAAUCUAAAGUGUAGUCUUAGAAAAAUGAGAGGAUGACUGGAAUCUAACCAAAUAAGUAAGCAUCUAGAGAUUUGUUCUCCAUGAACUCAUAUACAAGUAUUAAUUCUUCUCCAUGAAUGCAAUAUCCGAGUAGUUUAAUGAGGUUUGGAUGCUGAAGUUUGGAAAGCAAAAGGACUUCAUUUUUAAAUUCAAUAAAGCUUUGGUGGCUAUUCGAUGCCAACCUUUUAACAGCUACUUCCUGUCCUGUAGAUAACAGACCCUAUACCGAUAGAAUAGCAUUAGCAGAAAGAUUGAACUUCAAAUCACCAUCCAAAUUUCGAAGCAAAACAAGGUAAAGCAAACCUGACCUUAUAAACAGGACCAAAUCCACCUUCUCCAAUCUUAUUCGGUUGCGAAAAGUUAUUAGUUGCAGCUACAAUUGUAGCCAGAUCAAAUCUAUACGAUGCAACUUCCUCUCCAAAAUGUGCUGCAAGAUAAUUCCGUCAUUCAGUGUGAGACUUAAAUUGGAUUGAACCUAGUGCUAUUCAAAUAUGUUCGCUCGAGCUUGUCCGUUCAAAUUAUCAAAGGAACCAAGCUUGACUUGUUCACUUACAGCGACAAAGCAGCCUCAAUCAAGAGCUUGAGUUAUAAGCUACCUUACAUACAAUUUUUAUUACUUGAAAAAUUUCAGGAGACAUAAAUAUCCACUAUUGACAAAAAUUGUUUCACAACUAAAACAACAAACAAAUACUACGUUUUUCUUCCAAUAAUUUUGGGAUCGUAUGAAUCCUUUUUAGGCUAUCUUCCAUUUCUAGACUCACUGAAACAUCAAAAAAUGAGAAGCAUUUUGAUAAUAAUAUUUGAGAGUCUAAGACUUUGCCUUCACGCAAACACACAAAUAGAACUUAUAUAAGAUAGAUGUCUAAAACAAGCCUAAGAUUAAUUUCUAGCUUGGGGGUUUGGCUUCAGGCUCCAACUCGAUCUUGUGGUAGACUGCCCUCCUAGUAAUUGAUUGCAUACCGUCUUGCUAUCUAAAGCAACAAGCCAUAAUACGAAAAGCAAAAUUAGAAUGAGGGUCCGAAGGAGAAUCAGAGGUAAGACAAAGCAAACUCUAACCGCUGCCCUCGGUCCUAACAGCUUAUUUACCCCUUAGAUGAAAAAGGUUGGACCUUACGCUAUUCUAUUCCUUUCUCACGUCAGAAAUUGCGGUCCGGGUAAAGCUACUACCCUUAAUACACCUUCGCGGGAGACGACGGGGGUGGCUGCUCCAAUUAUAAAUGAUUCUUUGUAAGCUUUGUCAUAAUAAAUCCACAAGGUAGACAGGUAACAGACCGUAAGACAAGAAUAUGUAAUGUAUUAAACUGCAUCUAUUUCUUCUUAUUGAGCUUAGGGUGAGUUGCUGAGACAACCAUCUGAAAUCACUUCCAAUUACGAGGAUGUUAUCUACUUUGUAUGCAGUCAUUACAAUACCUGGUAUUGAUAAAUGGGUUUUCUUUAUUAUGUUUGCCCUUUUCCAUAAUGCAUUCCAUAGCCGAAAUCGUGGUAGCUUAUAAGCAAUUUUGUUUUUCUUAUACACUUGUGCUUCUCUGCCUGAUGGCUCGGUAUACUGAACCAUUUUGCUUCUUUCAGUCAGAGAGAGUGGCAUAUUCUGCUCAUCCACAGAGGACAUUUCUUCUAUCUCGGUGUUAAUUGAAUGUAGAGUUUCCCCAGCACGAGGCACGACACUAUCAGAACUAGUUAUCUCUGGAGCAGAAGAUUUUGAGCUUUCCUGUUGCUCCAGUGCAGACUCAAGUUGUACCACAACUUGAGCCAUUGUAGGCCGUUUAUUUGGUUCGUCAUGCAAGCAUCUUUUAGCAACUUCAAGAAAUGUCAUCAGGCUCUCUGGUGAUAUUUGUGCCCUCAGACUUGGAGCAACAAGGCGAUCAAUUUCUCCUUUGCUGAUGCAAUCUUGAGCCCAAAUGGCGAGGAUCCUCUGCUUAUCCUCUUCGACUCUUCGAUCCAGUGCUGGUCUUUCGCACAGUACUUCCAACAACACAACCCCGAAGGCAUAUGUGUCACUCUUCCUUCUCAAUCUACGAGUUCUGAAAUAGUCUGGGUCAAAAUACCCAUAUGUACCUUUAACGUUAGUGCUGACAUAGCUUUGCACCCGAUUUCUCUUUCGAGCUUUGGCCAACCCAAAAUCUGAAAUCUUAGCCUCCAAAUUUUCAUCCAGCAGGAUGUUCGAAGCCUUUAUGUCACGGUGUAUGAUUCCUUGAUCAGUGCCAGUGUGAAGGUAGUCUAAUCCUCGGCCUACCCCAGUGCAGAUCCUCAGUCGCUGCUCCCAAGAGAGAGAGGAGUGAUAAUCACUCUGUCCACUGAGUCCAAAGAGAUGGUCAGCCAAUGUGCCACUAGGAACAUAUUCAUAGAGAAGGAUCAUUUCUUGGCAUUCAUUGCAGUAUCCGAUUAAAGAAAUGAUAUUAGUAUGUUGGAGCUGCGAAAGGGUUUCGACCUCUGUCCAAAACUCGCGCGCCCCUUGCCUGGAAUUGGAUUUUAAUCGUUUUAUGGCUACAAUCUUUUGCUCCUUACUAAUAAAUCCUCUGUAUACUUUGCCAAAUCCACCCCUCCCAAUAACAAGUGCAUCAUUGAAGUUCUCAGUAGCUGAUUGGAUCUCAGUAAGCGAAAAAGGACGACAUAGUUUUUCAGUCAAGCCUGAUGGCUUGUAUCCAGAGUCGGUACAGUUAUCUUCCCAAAUUUUCCGCAACUUAUAAGUAAUGAUGUUGACUAGGGAGAUUAUAAUUACUGCACCAGUAGCAAUUGCAUUUCCAUGACCAAAAAAUGACAGUAAAUUUUGCACUGUAGCAGAUUUUGAAGAUCGUCUGGGAGGGGAGGGGUUUGGACUUGCAAGACUAUUAUCGUGGUUGCUCAACUUCAAUAUCUCCAAUCCUCUGAAGAGUUCAGUUACCAAUUCAUCCUUUAACUGCAGGGAAAUUGAUAGAUCACGCCUGCCAUCUUCUUUGUUUCCUUUCACCAUCACCAUAUAGUCUCUGUGCAAAUGGAUUCCACUGACGACGCUCCUCUCUUUGCCAAUAGCAACAUUAGUUUCUGCAAUCAUGUCAUUUAUGGAGACACUGAAUACGCUGUUUCUAGUCUCUGCCAUCUGAAGUCCCCUCUCGCAGAAAUGAAGCCUGAGCAAGUAUCCGAAUCCAACAUCCACAGACGUUUUCCAGGUAAAAUCUUUGAUCUUUUCAUCUGGAACUGUUGCCCAUUUCCCAAACAUGCCAAGAUAAGGAAUAGGGUCCCAUUUGAAAUUUAAUCGCUGCAUAAUUUCAAGCGCAGUGCUGUUAUCGACAUAGAAUCGAGAUUUUUGGCCAACCACUCGGGCUCCAAGAUCAUCAUCAUCAUGAGAGUAAUAAAGAUCACUAGGCAUGGAUAAUACCUCUAUUCCAUUUAUAAAAGCAUAUGUUUUAUCAGAUUGACUGUGUUCAGGAGAGAAAAUUAUACUCAGAGGUUGAUUCUGUUCUAUAUUCAUGCAAUACUCCUUAACCAAAGACUUCAC
Molecule: long non-coding RNA, 84725 nt
Filed under: Olea europaea (common olive)
Lineage: Eukaryota; Viridiplantae; Streptophyta; Magnoliopsida; Lamiales; Oleaceae
Description: long non-coding RNA (OEUR_LNC007215)
Source: RNAcentral